Molecule: long non-coding RNA, 51962 nt
Filed under: Brassica napus (rape)
Lineage: Eukaryota; Viridiplantae; Streptophyta; Magnoliopsida; Brassicales; Brassicaceae
Description: long non-coding RNA (BNAP_LNC016595)
Rfam family: mir-393 microRNA precursor family (bases 1144-1275)
Source: RNAcentral
ACACACAAUCCAAGUAAGAACAAAAUAAAUAAAAAGUAAAUAAAAACUAAAGUUCGAUGAUAAUUUAGAAGAAAACUUAAAAAAAAACGAAAUUGAGAUAAUGAUAAUAUUUCAUUGGUUUACUUGAUCAAUAUAUACAUUGAGUUAUCUUAAUAUUUCAUAAGUUUACUUCUAAUAAAAGAAUUAAUAGAUAAUGAUAGUUUUAUUAUUAAAGUUAAUUUAUGGUUAAUUACAUAAUGAAAAAUCUAAUUAUUCAUUAAAAAUAUAUCUAUUUUAGCUGUUUUAGAAACUAAAUCGUUAAACACAUGUUCAUAACAUGAUUACAUAGGCAACUCUCUAAACUUAAUAUCAAAGCAUAUUUUUCUUAUAGAUUAAACAAUAAUAAAACAUACACGUGAAAUAACUACUGAAAGUACAUAAAUAUAGAUGUCAAAAACUAUAAUCGAGACAACUUGGAAUGAAUGAAAAAAAUGAAAGUAUAGAGUUUAAAACAUCUUACAUCAUGUGAAAAUAAAAAUUGGUCCUAACUUGUUUAAAAUAAUUAUAAUUGUAAUUCCAAUUAGAAAUUUUGAAAUAGUUAUGUUAUUUAAAUUAAUAAAUUAAUAAUUUAAUCUAAAUCCUAGUAAGAAUCUUGUGAAAUUUAAAAUAAUUAUAAUCAUAAUUCCAAUUAGAAAUUUCGAAAUAGUUUAUUAUUUAAAUUAAUAAAUUAAUAAAUUAAUUAGAAAUCGAAAUAUUUAUAUUAUCUAAAUUAAUAAAUUGAUGAUUUAAUCUAAAAACUACUAAGAAUAUGACAAAUAAGCAAAAGCUAAAAUCAUGGAGAAUUUAAAUUAAUAAAUUAAUUAGAAAUCAAAAUAUUUAUAUUAUCUAAAUUAAUAAAUUGAUGAUUUAAUCUAAAAACUACUAAGAAUAUGACAAAUAAGCAAAAUUAGCUAAAAUGAUGGAGAAUGAGACAAAUCAGCAAAAUCACUUCAUAAAUAAUAGUAUAGAUAAUGGAAACCAAAAAGUAGAAAAUAAUUAAAGUGGAACAAAAAAACUUGAUGAAGGUGGAAAUUAAAAGAUAAAAGGAUAACAAAGGGUUGAAAAACAAAACACAUUGCUCUCAACUUUGAGAGAGAGAGAGAGAACAUAUUCUUCAUAGCAACUAGAGGAAGGAUCCAAAGGGAUCGCAUUGAUCCUAAGUCGAGUGAAUUCUCCUUAAUAUUUUCUUAAUUAUUGGCAAAAAAUUCCAAUAUUUUGCUUGGUUUUGGAUCAUGCUAUCCCUUUCGAUUCAUCCUUCGGUAGCUUCAUCUUCGAUCAAACGGUUAUAGUAGACUCUUCACUGGAGAUUUUGUUUGGCUUAACAAAUCUGCGACGCUUUGGUCUCAAGCCAACAACAACAAUCUUGGAAACUCUCUUCUUACAAGUAAGUUUCAAAGACUCUUCUUGAGUCUUGACCAAAGCGAAUCAUGCCAAAAAUUGAAGACCUACCUGUUUUUUGUCUUUUUUUAUUUGGAUCGAAUUUCCAAUUUACCAUAGCGGAAAAUCUUAAUUGAUUAGUUAUCAAAUAUUACUGUAUAUGUUGAUAUAUAUGAAAUAUAGCACUUGAAGUUACUUUUAACUGGUUUAAACUUUCUGAAAAUACCUACAUGGCCAUUUCUGAAAACUAUUUUUUCAGUUAAAUACCAUAUAUAUAUAAUUGGUGCAUAUUGGUGUAUAUAUAUUUGUGCAUCUUUCAUAUCAGUUAUUUCCUUAAAUAUAUGGUAACUUUAUAUUCAUUCGAGAUUACUUUCUACACAUGCUUACUAGUUUGAAAUCCCAAGUCCCAAAGUCUCGUUGGAUCCCGUUAAAUUAAAUCAAGUAGGACUUGGAGUAGAGGUGUACAUAUGUUCACAGGAAAAGGACUUGGACCAUUUUAACUUUACCCAACUUAAUAGAAUUCCAAACUGAAAAAGAAUAAAAAACUUAAACAACGAAUCCAAAGGAAAAAACGAAGAUAAACACUGAACCUAACUACAACGCAUAUAAAUGUAUAUUAAAAACAGAAAUCAGGACAAAUCUUCAUCGCAAAGUACAACGAGUUACAGACUAAUCUUACUUAGUUAACAACAAAAAGUAUAUAUUACAUUUUACUUUAUAGUUUUUCUUCAAUUAAACGCAAAUAUAUCCCAGUGUGAAUAGAAUGUCAUUCGGAAAAUUGAUUUGUGGCAGGUUUAGAAAUAGUUUGAAGAAAAAUUUAUGGUUAAUUAACAUCAUUGUGUUUUUGUCUGAAGAAAGUCAGGACUAUCUGAAAAUAACAGCCACGAUCAUAACCUGAGGACAUCAUCAUUAGUAAGAUGGUUGACUUUCAAACAUGAAUACGCAUAUCAUACACACAUUAUGCAUAUCUUUAUUAUUAUUUCCUUCUUACAAUCAUUUUUCUCCCCACUGUAAUGUGUGAAAGAAGAAAAGAGCGGAAAAAUAUCUAAAGAAAUCAAAUUGAACUAAGAAGAAAAGGAACAGAAUCAUGACAUUGAAUUUGAUGUUGUUUACGUGCAAAAGAUUUUGGUGGACCGGCAGAUAUGGAAGAAAGGACGAUGUAUUUCUUCAUCUGCGAGAUUUGAAAUUACAUUGUCUCCUUCUUUCCCNNNNNNNNNNNNNNNNNNNNNNNNNNNNNNNNNNNNNNNNNNNNNNNNNNNNNNNNNNNNNNNNNNNNNNNNNNNNNNNNNNNNNNNNNNNNNNNNNNNNNNNNNNNNNNNNNNNNNNNNNNNNNNNNNNNNNNNNNNNNNNNNNNNNNNNNNNNNNNNNNNNNNNNNNNNNNNNNNNNNNNNNNNNNNNNNNNNNNNNNNNNNNNNNNNNNNNNNNNNNNNNNNNNNNNNNNNNNNNNNNNNNNNNNNNNNNNNNNNNNNNNNNNNNNNNNNNNNNNNNNNNNNNNNNNNNNNNNNNNNNNNNNNNNNNNNNNNNNNNNNNNNNNNNNNNNNNNNNNNNNNNNNNNNNNNNNNNNNNNNNNNNNNNNNNNNNNNNNNNNNNNNNNNNNNNNNNNNNNNNNNNNNNNNNNNNNNNNNNNNNNNNNNNNNNNNNNNNNNNNNNNNNNNNNNNNNNNNNNNNNNNNNNNNNNNNNNNNNNNNNNNNNNNNNNNNNNNNNNNNNNNNNNNNNNNNNNNNNNNNNNNNNNNNNNNNNNNNNNNNNNNNNNNNNNNNNNNNNNNNNNNNNNNNNNNNNNNNNNNNNNNNNNNNNNNNNNNNNNNNNNNNNNNNNNNNNNNNNNNNNNNNNNNNNNNNNNNNNNNNNNNNNNNNNNNNNNNNNNNNNNNNNNNNNNNNNNNNNNNNNNNNNNNNNNNNNNNNNNNNNNNNNNNNNNNNNNNNNNNNNNNNNNNNNNNNNNNNNNNNNNNNNNNNNNNNNNNNNNNNNNNNNNNNNNNNNNNNNNNNNNNNNNNNNNNNNNNNNNNNNNNNNNNNNNNNNNNNNNNNNNNNNNNNNNNNNNNNNNNNNNNNNNNNNNNNNNNNNNNNNNNNNNNNNNNNNNNNNNNNNNNNNNNNNNNNNNNNNNNNNNNNNNNNNNNNNNNNNNNNNNNNNNNNNNNNNNNNNNNNNNNNNNNNNNNNNNNNNNNNNNNNNNNNNNNNNNNNNNNNNNNNNNNNNNNNNNNNNNNNNNNNNNNNNNNNNNNNNNNNNNNNNNNNNNNNNNNNNNNNNNNNNNNNNNNNNNNNNNNNNNNNNNNNNNNNNNNNNNNNNNNNNNNNNNNNNNNNNNNNNNNNNNNNNNNNNNNNNNNNNNNNNNNNNNNNNNNNNNNNNNNNNNNNNNNNNNNNNNNNNNNNNNNNNNNNNNNNNNNNNNNNNNNNNNNNNNNNNNNNNNNNNNNNNNNNNNNNNNNNNNNNNNNNNNNNNNNNNNNNNNNNNNNNNNNNNNNNNNNNNNNNNNNNNNNNNNNNNNNNNNNNNNNNNNNNNNNNNNNNNNNNNNNNNNNNNNNNNNNNNNNNNNNNNNNNNNNNNNNNNNNNNNNNNNNNNNNNNNNNNNNNNNNNNNNNNNNNNNNNNNNNNNNNNNNNNNNNNNNNNNNNNNNNNNNNNNNNNNNNNNNNNNNNNNNNNNNNNNNNNNNNNNNNNNNNNNNNNNNNNNNNNNNNNNNNNNNNNNNNNNNNNNNNNNNNNNNNNNNNNNNNNNNNNNNNNNNNNNNNNNNNNNNNNNNNNNNNNNNNNNNNNNNNNNNNNNNNNNNNNNNNNNNNNNNNNNNNNNNNNNNNNNNNNNNNNNNNNNNNNNNNNNNNNNNNNNNNNNNNNNNNNNNNNNNNNNNNNNNNNNNNNNNNNNNNNNNNNNNNNNNNNNNNNNNNNNNNNNNNNNNNNNNNNNNNNNNNNNNNNNNNNNNNNNNNNNNNNNNNNNNNNNNNNNNNNNNNNNNNNNNNNNNNNNNNNNNNNNNNNNNNNNNNNNNNNNNNNNNNNNNNNNNNNNNNNNNNNNNNNNNNNNNNNNNNNNNNNNNNNNNNNNNNNNNNNNNNNNNNNNNNNNNNNNNNNNNNNNNNNNNNNNNNNNNNNNNNNNNNNNNNNNNNNNNNNNNNNNNNNNNNNNNNNNNNNNNNNNNNNNNNNNNNNNNNNNNNNNNNNNAGUGAUCAGACACAAUUCAUAAAAGCUUUUUUUGUCCAAAACAAAGCUAAACAACUAAAACUCAAGUUACAGAAGUUACCAAAUGCUUGAUAUAACAGAGUAUUUACAGUCAAUCAGGGAAAAAGCUUUGCAAUCACAAGUUCAAACAAAGUUACAGACUGUUUCAAACAAGUGCUUAGUUGACUAACAGAAAGUUCACAAAGAGCUAAAACGUUCUUUCCAAAGAAGAGACAAUCUCAAUUCUACAACAAUCCAUCAGUUCAAAAAGCUUUAUCAUCUCGCCAUUAGCUUAAAAGAAUCACAGUAUCACAAGACAGCAAGAUACAGUUUACUAGUAGUCUAGUAUCAUAAAGAUCAUAACAUCAGUCUCAGAUUUUCAACAAACCCAGAAACUCUAGAGAUCGAUUUCAACAAACCCAGAACAAAACUAGAAGAACGUACCUCACAGAAUGCUUAUUGGAGAAGACGGAUACAACCCCGACGACGCUCUUCGAAAUCGAUCUCUAGGGUUGGUGUGUUCGUUGAAAUCAAUCCAGGAGCAGCAGAACUUGAUGAGGACGUCGUGUUAUCGGAUUUGAAUUUGAGCAGCUUCGUUCAGAUUCUAGGGUUCACGUUGCGAUCCUCUUUGUUUCUCUCUUUUCUGGUUUCUGGAAAAAAGAGACGGCCUUGAAGAAAAAUCAAAACUACGUCUCGGUUAAGAUUCUCAAUUCAGAUACUUACUAAUAAUUAGUAAUAUAUGUAUUAUAAUUUAAAAAAUCAUAAUAACUUAUUUUUAUAUUCUUAAUCAUUUUAAUUCUCUUCGAUUUUUAUUUCGAUCUAAUUCUUUUUAACACAAAGGAAAGCUAUAAAACUAUGAGAGGAUAAAAACAUAAUUACAUAUCAAAUAUUCCACCCAAUAAAGUAAAGUAAGAAUGUGAACUUUUGAUCUCUCUCAAUCUACUUUGUAUUUUUGAACCAUAAACAUGAAUUAACUUACCAAAAACAAACAUUAAAACACACAAAAUCCAAAUAAGAACAAAAUAAAUAAAAACUAAAGUUUGAUGAUAAUUUUGAAGAUUUUUUUUUAAAACAAAUUGAGAUAAUAACAAAUUUCAUUGGUUUACUUGAUCAAUAUAUACAUUGACUUAUCUUAAUAUUUUAUAAGUUUAAUUUUAAUAAAAGAAACAAUAAAUAAUGAUAGUUUUAUUAUUAAAGUUAAUUUAUGGUUAAUUAUAUAAUGAUAAAUCUAAUUAUUCAUUAAAAAUAUAUUUACUUUUAUUUGUUUUAGAAACUAAACCAUUAAAGACAUGUUUAUAACAUGAUUACAUAAAUUCUCUAAAUUUAAUAUCAAAGAAUAUUAUUCUUACAGAUUAAACAGUAAUAAAACAUAUACGUGAAAUAACUACUGAAGUAAUUCGGAAUACCUAAUUCCUAAUUCCAAAUUCCAUGUAACAAAAAUGAUUUGCUCCUAGUAUUUCAGACUCAAAGAAAGAAGAAAAACAUAGAACUUCAACUAUAAAAAAAAAAAUAUCAAAAGUGCAUAAAUAUAGAUGUCAAAAACUAUAAUCGAGACAACUUGGAAUGAAUGAAAAAAUGAAACUAUAGAGUUUAAAACAUCUUACAUCAUAUGAAAAUAAUAAUUGGUCCUAACUUGUUUAAAAUAAUUAUAAUUGUAAUUCCAAUUAGAAAUUUUGAAAUAGUUAUGUUAUUUAAAUUAAUAAAUUAAUAAUUUAAUCUAAAUCCUAGUAAGAAUCUUGUGAAAUUUAAAAUAAUUAUAAUCAUAAUUCCAAUUAGAAAUUUCGAAAUAGUUUAUUAUUUAAAUUAAUAAAUUAAUAAAUUAAUUAGAAAUCGAAAUAUUUAUAUUAUCUAAAUUAAUAAAUUGAUGAUUUAAUCUAAAAACUACUAAGAAUAUGACAAAUAAGCAAAAGCUAAAAUCAUGGAGAAUUUAAAUUAAUAAAUUAAUUAGAAAUCAAAAUAUUUAUAUUAUCUAAAUUAAUAAAUUGAUGAUUUAAUCUAAAAACUACUAAGAAUAUGACAAAUAAGCAAAAUUAGCUAAAAUGAUGGAGAAUGAGACAAAUCAGCAAAAUCACUUCAUAAAUAAUAGUAUAGAUAAUGGAAACCAAAAAGUAGAAAAUAAUUAAAGUGGAACAAAAAAACUUGAUGAAGGUGGAAAUUAAAAGAUAAAAGGAUAACAAAGGGUUGAAAAACAAAACACAUUGCUCUCAACUUUGAGAGAGAGAGAGAGAACAUAUUCUUCAUAGCAACUAGAGGAAGGAUCCAAAGGGAUCGCAUUGAUCCUAAGUCGAGUGAAUUCUCCUUAAUAUUUUCUUAAUUAUUGGCAAAAAAUUCCAAUAUUUUGCUUGGUUUUGGAUCAUGCUAUCCCUUUCGAUUCAUCCUUCGGUAGCUUCAUCUUCGAUCAAACGGUUAUAGUAGACUCUUCACUGGAGAUUUUGUUUGGCUUAACAAAUCUGCGACGCUUUGGUCUCAAGCCAACAACAACAAUCUUGGAAACUCUCUUCUUACAAGUAAGUUUCAAAGACUCUUCUUGAGUCUUGACCAAAGCGAAUCAUGCCAAAAAUUGAAGACCUACCUGUUUUUUGUCUUUUUUUAUUUGGAUCGAAUUUCCAAUUUACCAUAGCGGAAAAUCUUAAUUGAUUAGUUAUCAAAUAUUACUGUAUAUGUUGAUAUAUAUGAAAUAUAGCACUUGAAGUUACUUUUAACUGGUUUAAACUUUCUGAAAAUACCUACAUGGCCAUUUCUGAAAACUAUUUUUUCAGUUAAAUACCAUAUAUAUAUAAUUGGUGCAUAUUGGUGUAUAUAUAUUUGUGCAUCUUUCAUAUCAGUUAUUUCCUUAAAUAUAUGGUAACUUUAUAUUCAUUCGAGAUUACUUUCUACACAUGCUUACUAGUUUGAAAUCCCAAGUCCCAAAGUCUCGUUGGAUCCCGUUAAAUUAAAUCAAGUAGGACUUGGAGUAGAGGUGUACAUAUGUUCACAUGAAAAGGACUUGGACCAUUUUAACUUUACCCAACUUAAUAGAAUUCCAAACUGAAAAAGAAUAAAAAACUUAAACAACGAAUCCAAAGGAAAAAACGAAGAUAAACACUGAACCUAACUACAACGCAUAUAAAUGUAUAUUAAAAACAGAAAUCAGGACAAAUCUUCAUCGCAAAGUACAACGAGUUACAGACUAAUCUUACUUAGUUAACAACAAAAAGUAUAUAUUACAUUUUACUUUAUAGUUUUUCUUCAAUUAAACGCAAAUAUAUCCCAGUGUGAAUAGAAUGUCAUUCGGAAAAUUGAUUUGUGGCAGGUUUAGAAAUAGUUUGAAGAAAAAUUUAUGGUUAAUUAACAUCAUUGUGUUUUUGUCUGAAGAAAGUCAGGACUAUCUGAAAAUAACAGCCACGAUCAUAACCUGAGGACAUCAUCAUUAGUAAGAUGGUUGACUUUCAAACAUGAAUACGCAUAUCAUACACACAUUAUGCAUAUCUUUAUUAUUAUUUCCUUCUUACAAUCAUUUUUCUCCCCACUGUAAUGUGUGAAAGAAGAAAAGAGCGGAAAAAUAUCUAAAGAAAUCAAAUUGAACUAAGAAGAAAAGGAACAGAAUCAUGACAUUGAAUUUGAUGUUGUUUACGUGCAAAAGAUUUUUAUUUGUGGCAGGUUUAGAAAUACUUUGAAGAAAAAUUUAUGGUUAAUUAACAUCAUUGUGUUUUUGUCUGAAGAAAGUCCGGACUAUCUGAAAAUAACAGCCACGAUCAUAACCUGAGGACAUCAUCAUUAGUAAGAUGGUUGACUUUCAAACAUGAAUACGCAUAUCAUACACACAUUAUGCAUAUCUUUAUUAUUAUUUCCUUCUUACAAUCAUUUUUCUCCCCACUGUAAUGUGUGAAAGAAGAAAAGAGCGGAAAAAUAUCUAAAGAAAUCAAAUUGAACUAAGAAGAAAAGGAACAGAAUCAUGACAUUGAAUUUGAUGUUGUUUACGUGCAAAAGAUUUUGGUGGACCGGCAGAUAUGGAAGAAAGGACGAUGUAUUUCUUCAUCUGCGAGGUUUGAAAUUACAUUGUCUCCUUCUUUCCCUUCACUUAAUUUGCUAUUUACGUAUGCUUACAGUCAUCUCAAUGACACUCAAAGUUUUAUAACUUUUUUAUUUGUAUCUUUAUAUUUUUUGGGUAAUUUGUAAAUUCUAUUGUCUCAUUGUUGGAUCCCCGCGUAGUUGCUUGAGUUCAUCGUGUCUUCGUGGGUUCAGCUUUAAAAAGGCAGGUAGUGAUACGCUUAGUUAGGCCACCUUUCAAGCCCAUGAAUGUAAACAUAUGUAGUAACUGUGACUAGUGGCAACGGCUCCACAAGUGCCGCUCUCCUGCUGCCGCAAAAGCAUCACACGUGGUUUAUCUUAAUCCAGCUUGGACCAACUUGCAAAUCAAACCACUAGAUUCUGCUCUGGUCUUCAUGGUUCGGCGAAUCGGUGUGACGAGCCAGAUUGAACCAUUGGGGAGGAGAUAAAUCAUUAAUAUCUUAUCUCUCAUAUCAAUUAUUCUUCUUAUGAAUAUCUUAAAUAUUUUAUAUCAAUUAUUGUUCUUAUGAACCUCCAUGGGUCAAGUUUUUUUUUACCAAAAUUAUACUCCUACCAAGAUAAAGAUGGCCAAAAAAAGAAAAAAGAUAGCCAAAAAAUGUUAUAUUUUGCUUAUAGGAAUAAAAAAGAUACUGGGCUUUGCUAUAAAGUGUCCUUGAAAUUAAUUGCGUCCACAACACUAAGGCUUCUUUAUCGUCCAUUAUUAAGGCACUACAAAGCAUAAGGGAUAUAACGAUAUAUACUUAUUCCUGAUCAUUUGUUUGGUAACUACUAAUUCCUUCUUCUUUAUUCCUUCCAACUCUCAUUUAACAUACAUAUAUACGUUUGAGGAAGGUUGUUUUGUAUACCUGUAAACUUAAUAUCUAAAACGUGUACCUCAAGCAACCGCCCGAGGAUCAAACAAUGUCAAUUCGCUGAAUUUAAAAAUGAAGGAAUACAGGUUUUUGUAACCUUCAAAAUGGGCUUUUGUGUCAUGGUCAGUGAUUGGCAUCUUGGUCAUGGAGAACGCAUAAAAUUUGAGUUGGGACUUGGGAGAAUAGUUGGUACUUCCAAGUGGUUUAAGAUUUGUUGGAAGUUGUGCCCUUCUGCCAUUAACUUCAGCCAAUAGCUAGAUUGCAUGGCCCCAGUCAACUUGCUCUGGAGAACGUGUGUAUAUUUAUAUAAUUUCGAUGAAAACUCAAAUAUUGUUUUUUUUUUCUCUCUCUAAUAUAGAAGAACUACCAAUUUUUUACUUUUGUUUUAAAAUAACUUUGAAUUUAGAUAAAAAAAAAAUUGAAUAUAAAAUGUAUUGAAGUUCUAGACAUUACAGUGAACAUUUAAUAAUUUUGUUCUUACUAAAGAAGACCCAUAAUGUCAAGGAAAGUAUUUUCUGAAAGGAUAAUUUUUUGUAAAUAUAUUUAUUUAGUUUUUUAUUUAUAAAUCUGGCCAUUCUUAUGCAAAAACAAAAAUUCAGACGAGAGAGACUUGAGACCUCAAAGGCUCACAAGACCACCCACCAAAUGCGUUAGUAUAAUGUUAUGUCCAGCUUUUCUUCAUCGGUCUCUCCUUUCUUUGACUGAAUUAGAUUCUAUCUUGUUUUCAGUGAAGGAGAGAAAAAUUCGCUUAAAAAAAGACAGAUUCUAUAUAAAUCAGAAAAGCUGGCUUUCUCAAAACUCCUUCAUGUAGUUGAGGAAGGAGGAGGAGAAGAAGAAAGGCAAAGGCUCUUAGCUGCAGAUACACAAGAGCCCUUUGUCGUAACGACCAUGAACGCCACCGAAGCUAUGAAUCGCAAAGUUAAUGUCAGAGGAGACGAUGUUGAUAUCGAAAUCCCUGACACUGCUCAUCAAAUUAGCAGCGGUUUGUAAAUUCAUUUUCCCCUCCUUUGUUUUGUUAUUUUUUUGCAAGCAUCCAAUAUUUUUACUUUUAAUCUUUUACCACGAAAAAUGUUUUCACCACAAAGAGUAAAUUAACCUAAUAUAAAAACCCAAAUUCUAAAAAUCUGUUUAUACUGCACCUAGAAACAUUUUACAACCAUAUAUGUUUGUUUGGGAAAUUUUUGCUUUGUCAAACUCUGUUUUUAGUAAUCUGAGAUCACAUUUUGGGGUUUAGCUUAAACCUGUUCUUGUGGAAUGGUACAGAUUCAUGGUUUCAGGUGGCGUUCGUUCUGACAACCGGUAUAAACAGCGCGUAUGUGUUGGGAUAUUCAGGAACAGUAAUGGUUCCUUUAGGUUGGGUUGGUGGUGUGGUUGGUCUUCUUCUCGCUACUGUAAUCUCUCUCUAUGCAAAUACUCUCGUAGCCAAGCUUCAUGAGUUUGGUGGCAAGAGACACAUUCGUUAUAGAGACCUUGCUGGAUUCAUUUACGGUACAAAAAAAAAAAACACCAAACCACCUCUCUUAUAUUUUCUCUGUUGUCACAUUCAUUGAAAUGUUUUGAUCAGGUAGAAAGGCUUAUCACCUUACAUGGGGAUUGCAGUAUGUUAAUCUUUUCAUGAUUAACUGUGGAUUUAUCAUACUAGCUGGCUCUGCCCUGAAGGUAGUUAAAACAUCUUGAUUCUUGAUUAUUAAUUCUUGAAUUUUGAUUCCUUGUGAGCCAAGUUAGUUAUUUUGGAGUGUGUUUUGUUUCUACAGGCUGUUUAUGUGCUUUUCAGGGAUGAUCAUACUAUCAAGUUACCUCACUGUAUAGCCAUUGCUGGUCUGAUAUGUGCGGUUUUCGCCAUUGGAAUCCCUCAUUUAUCUGCUCUUGGGGUCUGGCUUGCAGUUUCAACCAUCCUGAGUCUCAUCUACAUAGUAGUAGCAAUUGUCCUAUCAGUUAGAGACGGUAUAACUUAAAAUAAUGAUCAAGAAUUUAGCUAUACUGAUAGAUUAUAUAGCUACUGAUAAAUCUGACUCUUGGCUAUUAUAUUUUUGUUAUUUUGUAGGAGUGAAAGCACCUGCAAGAGAUUACGGAAUACAAGGAUCAUCACUAAGCAAACUUUUUACCAUCACAGGAGCAGCUGCAAACCUGGUCUUCGCAUUCAACACAGGGAUGCUUCCAGAGAUUCAAGCGACAGUGAGACAACCGGUUGUGAAAAACAUGAUGAAGGCUCUAUACUUUCAGUUCACAGCUGGUGUUUUACCAAUGUACGCGGUUACAUUCAUCGGAUACUGGGCUUACGGAUCCUCAACCUCCACCUAUUUGUUAAACAGUGUUAACGGCCCACUAUGGGUCAAAGCCCUUGCUAACGUUUCAGCUAUACUUCAGUCUGUUAUCUCUUUGCAUGUAAGUUUCUUGGCCCCAAGUCUUUAACUGUCUCAAACUUUUUGUAACGUUCCGACCACCCACGGAUAAUAAGACUCCCAUGCCCGCUCACUCGACCCGUUGGUCCUAUUACACCUUUGCUCAGUUCUUCUUCUUUAUUUGUAGAUAUUUGCGAGUCCAACAUAUGAGUACAUGGACACAAGGUUCGGGAUCAAAGGACAUCCACUGGCUUUAAGGAACUUGCUGUUCAGGAUCAUGGCGAGAGGCGGGUACAUCGCGGUGAGCACGCUUAUCUCGGCGCUCUUGCCGUUCCUUGGGGACUUCAUGAGCCUCACUGGUGCAGUGAGCACAUUCCCUCUUACAUUCAUUCUAGCUAACCACAUGUACUAUAAGGCUAAGAAAACUAAGCUUAGUCCUAUGCAAAAGGUAUGGCAUUGGCUUAAUGUUGUCUUCUUCAGUUUGAUGUCUGUUGCUGCCGCCAUUGCAGCUCUCAGGCUCAUCGCCCUUGACUCUAAAAACUUCCACGUUUUUGCAGAUAUGUAAUUCAUUUUAGUAUAAUUGUAAUGGUUCAUUAUUCUCCCACCAAAGCUUGUAUUCUCUUUUUGUAUUUUAUAACACAUCUGAACAUAAAUGAAACAAAAGAUUAUACAAAAGUACUAAAGUUUACCAUCAAGGUUGUGUCUGAACCAAUAGCAGAGACUCUCAGACGCACACCGCAGCAUUUGAGCAGCAAAGUAUCAACCAAAGGGUUACUCUUUUCCCUCUUACCAAACCCUUCAUCUCCUCACGAACAAGACAGCCUCGCUUCAAUCAAGAAUCUCGCCCUUGCCUGUGCUCUUCUCUCUUCUUCCCUCUCUUCCACUCACGAACUCUUCUCAUGGAUCCCCGAAAGCCUCUCACUCAUAGGGUUCUCCGAGAUAUCUAGGGAUUAUUACAAUGGUGGGAAGAUGAGAUUGGUGAUCGAGUUGUUGCCGGUUGUGUUGCCUGAGUUGAAGGAUACGAUCGAAGGGAGCUCGAUGGGUAAGAAGAGUGAUGAUGCAGAGGAUGUUUCAGCUGCAUUGACGAGACAACCUGUUGGUUAUGCUGUCUUAGCUGCUCACCAGCUCAAGUGGUUUGUGACUCAGGUCUGUACUGAUUACUGAAUCAUCAAUAACUUGAAACUAUUCUGUUAUGUUGUUGCUCAAUGCAUUCUCUUGGGCCUCUUGGUGGGUAGGUUGAGAAACCGGAACUGGGGAAGCUUUGCAACUUGGUGGUUCCUUGUUCUUUGACAGCACUUGACCAUUGGUCCCCACAAGUCAAAGUAAGUACUUUGGGUUGUAAUGGCUUUUGUCUCUUAUUAGUUGUAACAUGAGAUUUAAUGUUGUUUGUUUGCUUGAUGACAGGGGGAGGGUAUGCUAAGCUUUAUUCAUCUACUUAAAAAUGUGAGUUCAAAUGAUCUUGGUUUGUAUGGAGACGUGGUUCUUGAUGCUUGCUGUCAGAAUAUAGCUUCAGAUGAUGAGAUAUGGAUACAUGUGGUAGAGUUAUCUGUGCUUCUUGUGACUAAACUCCAUCCAAAUAAUCCUCGUACCUCAUGGUGCAACUCUUUUUUUUUUCUUUUUCUUGUGUGACUGUCUGCUCCGGCCAAAUGGUUCUGUUUGCUCCAUGUUUUUGAAUGUAUCUUUUUCUUAGGUACGAGAGGUUCAUGAUUCAUGAAUGAGAUGCUGGGCCAUUUGGAACGCCAACCAAGAAACAAAGAGCGGUGUAACGCUUGGCUUAGAUUCGUUGAGCAACUCUUGAAUGCUGUAGGGCUUUUCUUGCUUGCUCAUUUUCGACGUAUUUUUCCUCUUUUCUUUCAGUGGAUGCAUUCAGAUGACGCUGAAACUGUUUUGUUGGUAUGUCUUCAUUCACUUUGCAAAUGUUAUGUAAUAAUGAUUUACAAAAUGGUGAGAUUUGCUAUAAUGCUAUGUUAAGGAUUUUAACAGAGAAUGGAUGUUGGUGUUGAGAAAAAAAGGCUGUACAAGGAAGAGAGAGAGAGAGAGAGAAACUUAUUUUUUUCUAAACAAACCUUAAUUAGAAACAAGAGAAAGAGAGGGUUGGCGAAAGAGGAGGAAAGAAGCUAGCUAGACCACCCGGCGGCAGCGAUUUGAAAUCUCCGGUUUCAUUCGCUGGCCGUGGAAACGCGCAAGGAGAAAAUAGUGUUUAUGUUUUGGCUGUUUCGUCCUUGAGGUGUGAAUCUUGAAGAAGAAGAAGAAGAUUGUAAUGGGGAAGAAAAGAGGUCAUGUCCAUAAUGCUCUCUUCCAACGACGACACCAUGAUUUCUUCUCAGGAUCCUAAACCCAAGAGGAUCUACCAACUCUGGCCCGGCAACAAUGUAUGCCUUGUCUUUCACACCAUGUCCUCUUUGCUUUGCCUGCUCUCACUUUCUCCAUCCGAAUGGCUUUCAUGAUCGGAAUGAGCUAUCCUUUGUUCCACUCUCUUAUACUCAUGGGUUCCCUUUUGCUCACCGUCUUGGUAAUAAAACAUAAACUUGUCUUUUUCCUUGUAUGCCACACGUUUACCCCUUUCUUCACUACUUCCUAAUCUUCUUUACAGGAUUUCACAUUUCUCUUCUUAACUUCAUCAAGAGACCCCGGGAUCAUUCCAAGAAACAAAGAAGCACCUGAAGCAGAAGGGCUUGACAUGCUCAGUAAAACAAAGCUACCUGUAACCAAGGAUGUAUUAGUGAACGGCUACACAGUCAAUGUCAAAUUCUGUGAGACUUGUUUGCUUUACCGUCCUCCACGCGCCUCUCACUGCUCAACAUGCAACAACUGUGUCCAAAGAUUUGAUCACCACUGUCAAUGGGUGGGACAAUCUAGUAAGUCUUCCAUGUGAAACAAAAGGUGUGUGUGUGUGAGAGUAUGAAUCUGUUGAUCUAACAUGUUGUUAUAUAAACGGCAGAGAAACUAUCCUUACUUCAUAGGUUUCAUAUCAACUUCAACUCUCCUCUGCUUGUACGUCUCAUGGGUUAGUAUGCUUGAGGUACACGGCAAGAUGUUGUUAAUGGUCAUCAUGGACGACAUAAAACUGAUACUAUGUAUCUGCAUUGCAUCAAAAUAUUAAGUCAACCACUUGAUAUAGUAUAGCUUAAUUUUUAUAUUAGAAUUACCAAUUUCAACUAUUUAAUGCAUUAACUAAACAUUGAUAACAAAAUAAUUUCCCUAUUAAUAGUAUAGAAAUACUGUUCAAAAUAAUUUGCCUAUUUUCUAGAUUUAACUAAAAUGAUUUUCGUUGUUCAGAAAAAAAAAACUUUAAUGAUAAUAUAUACGGAAAAUAUGUAGUCUCUAUUUUGGUUUCCAUCAUCACUAGUAAGCUAGCGAGUGCGAUUAGCCACGCGCCGAAGACGGAGUGCACCUUCCUCUUUGUCUUUUAAAGCCACGCGCCGAAGACGGAGUGCACCUUCCUCUUUGUCUUUAAAGCCACGCGUCCUCCACCUCCACCUCCACCUCCACCUCCACCCGACUUUGACUCCAUCUCGUUGCUGCUGCUACAACGAAGAGGAAGAAAAGAGGAUACGAUUGACGAAGCUCGAGGAACAUGAGAUCAGGAGAACACAAUUGAAGAAGAGAGCGAGGCUGAUCAGAAACCGACAAAGCGCGCAGCUUUCGAGGCAGAGGAAGAAGCAUUAGGCUUAUCCAUGGAUGCAUUGUCCUCCUUAUAUGGUCAAGCAACAAGGAGGAGGACAAGUGCCUUUUGAUUCCCAUUCUAAUAUUACUUUCUGUUCCCUUAACUUUGUUUAUGACAAACUAUAGAGCAUCGAACUUACCUUCAGUUACGUCUCUUGUUAAGAGUAGAUGCAUAACCUAAUCCGGAUAGAUGCCAAACAGUAAGCACUAAUGAUUAACAUAUGAAUACUUACUCAUAGAAAUUGAAAUGAGCAGAUCAAACGACUUUCCUGAGGCAUUGUAGCUUUUGAGAUUAUUAAUAACCUGUUUUCGUUUUUUUUUUUUUUUAACUCCAUUGUAGGGCCAAUGUUUAGCUCCGGGAUGUGCACACAAAGUGUUUCAGUUCGAUGUCUCCUCAACCUCUGUAGCCAUUAUUCCUGCACUGAACACAGUAAGAAUGCCACAGACACACACAGGCGAGAAAGAACAGAAGAACUCUUCGUGGUCUAGCCAUUCCACUCCCAGGAUCAGAUUUUAACUUCACUAAAUUAGAGCACCAAAGAAACAGCUCUAGCAAAGAAAUCAAGCCCGCUUCAUCAAUGGUUGUGUCUGUGCUUGUUGAUCCCAGAGAAGGUGGUGAUGGAGAUAUCGAUGGGAUGAUUGGGGGACCAAAAUCACUGUCCCCAGUUUUCGUUGUCGUGCUUCAGGACAGUGCAAAAUAUGUAACAUACUACCUCGACCAGGAGCUCCUCAUCUUGUGACUACUUAAAAGACUAUUCAGGAUUGUAACAUGCUUCAGCUUUGUAUAUAAGAAUAAACAGUUGCUUGCUCUUUGGAAUCAAGUAACAUCCUUAGCUGUUUAGAUUUUUGUUUCCAGAUGUAGAGUCCGAAUGCUGUAACUUUUUCAAUAUUUCUUAGUAAACUUAUAAAGAACCUUACAAAGUUAUACUGUACGCAUCAAACUUCUCGAAUACAUUGCAAUAUUACAAGAAACAUGUCCUUAAAACAGAAGAAACUGAAAGUGAUCAGUUAGCUGAUUCCAUGGUUUGAGCCAAGGGGGCGUUAGUAAUAGCCAUCUUCAUGUCAGGAGGAGUUGAGCCGCUGCUACGUUCUCGGAUCUCUCUAUAUUCUUGGCAAAUAGCACACAAGUGACAGAAGAAGUGUGUUACAAAGUCCCCACAUGGAGCCUCCUGCAUCAAAAAUCUUACAUUAACUUGCAGUUAUAUUAGUAAUGGGGAAAGUUAAUUUAAGCAGAAAUUUAAAACCGUGGAGUUUAAUAAAAAAAAACAACAAUUGAUUCAAUAUUAUUUAUAUAAACAAAAUACGUAAAUAUGUUAAAUUUCCCCUUUCAACAUACAUCUCAUUUAGCAAACUUUAUAAUUAAUUGAAAACAUUAUAGUGCUAUAGGAACUAGGUGUUUGCCGUAAUUUUACGGGUAAUUAUAUUAUAUGAAGAAAUAUAUAUUAUGUUUAUAUUGUUAUAAUUUUUGAAUAAUAAUUAAAAUUAUUAUUGUCUAAACCGCAGUUUCAAUAUUUUAGUUUAUAUGAGGCGCAUGUACGGCCCAACAUAAGCAAAUCCUAAUUACAUAAAAUGUUAUUUUGGUCAUUUCACACAAUCACCACCAUUCUCGCUCCCAGACGCCACUUUUAGACUACGAAGAAGAAACCCUAGAGUCUCUCUCCCAAAACUCUAACCAUGGCCGAGAUACUCGUACCGAAGGGCAUUUUGCGGGGCCACACGGACAUGGUCACCGCCAUCGGCGUAUCGAGCGAUAAAUCCAUCAUCCUCUGGGAUAUCAACAAGGGCGGCAAGUCUUACGGUGUUGCUCAGCGUAGGCUCACAGGCCAUGCUCACUUCGUUGAGGAUGUGAUUCUCUCAUGGAACGGUGGCCAUGCUCUCUCCGGAAGCUGUGACGGUGAGCUCCGUAUUUGGAAAUUAGACACUGGUGCCUCCGUUAGAUUCGUUGGACACACGGAUGAAGUACUCUAUGUCGAUAUGUCUGAUGACCAACGUACUAUCUUAUCCGCGUCUCGUGUCUGUAAGUGCACGAUCUCUGAGCAAGACGAUGGUCACAAGGACUAUAUUAGCUGUGUUAGGUUUAUCCCUAACAGGGAUGAUGGGUUAAGCAUUGUUUCCGCUUCUUGGGAUGGCACCGUGAAAGUGUGGGAUGUCGACAACUGCUUUAACUGUAAGCUGAAUUACUCUCUCGUUGGACACUCAGCUUGCCGCACCACUCUGGCUGUCAGUCCUAAUGGUCAACUAUGUGCCCGUGGUGGCGUAGACGGUGCUAUCUUGUUGUGGACUUUAGCUGACGGAAAUAAAGUUUGCUCGCUUGAGGAUAAUUUAAUUAUCCACUCGCUUUGUUUCUGCCCGAACAGAAACUGGCUGUGUGCUGCGACGGAGAACGGUAGCGAGAGUGGUCAUAAUACUCUUGUUGACCUCUUCCAAGAGCAGCCUGUUAAAAAUGAAAAGACAUUCAGGGACAUUACGCAGGAAGUCAUGGAAAAACAUGAGCGGGAAGUUUUAUUCAGUGGUUCACAGUAUAGUGAUUAAGGAGCUUCAUCUAAGUUCUUCACGCACAAGACGUGAUGUAGAACUUGCUAUUCAAGAAAAAUUAAGGAAUGUAAAUAUGCCUCCUUUCAUCAACAAAGCCAUCCAGGUUAGAAUUAUAUUAUAACGGUAGAGCUGACUUGUCUUUCGGUUAUUUUAUUGCUGAAAAUACUGCUUUUUUUUUUUCAUUUAUACAGGAUAGACUUAAAGAAACUGUUAGGUCAACUGUUGCGGCAUGCACAUAAAUUGCUCGAUCAACGAUUGAGGAAUCCAUGGCUAUCCAAAUUCACGAGGAAUUUGAGACCUCAUUCAACAGUGACCUCCGGGUAAAAAUAUUUUUGUAGAGUACUGCAGUCUCAACCGCCGCUUGGUGAAAACGGUGUUGACCUCUUAUGUACCUGCCAUUUAUAAAUUUCAGGAAGCACUUAGGUGGGGUGUGGAGACCUCACUCCUACCUACCUUUGAGAGGUUAUGCCAGACCAUGUUUAAUCAAGUAGACGUAGCCAUGCGCGAUGGGAUUAACGAGUACUGUGGACACACCCAACUUACUCAAACUUUAAAGGUAAGAUGGAAAGUCAUCAUUCUUCCCAAGACUGGUAUAGUUUCAAAAUCUAGUCAUUUAUUUCGUCUUUCUAAAGUUGCUGCCCAAUAUGCAGGAUAUCGUUGGUUCUAUGUUGUCCAUAAGCGCUGAAUUUGACCAGAAACAGAAUAAGGUCUUAGCUCUCUUGGAAAAAUCUGCUGGAGCAAAUCCCUUGGUUACUCAAGGAAGUAACAGACCUUUGGGUCCUCUUCUUAGAAUGGUUUGUUUUCACAAUCUCUGGAACUAAUUCAUAACCAUGUGUUAGCUUGAUAUCACCAUUCUUUGGUUCUUUGCUUCGGUUUCUUCUCUGUUAUAUAACUUUUUGUGAUUGAGUCAGAGAGUGAAUAUAGAGAGAAUCAUUUCUGGUUCUGAUCAGUCUUUGUCUGAGUUUUGACAUUCACAACAUCUAUCCCUUUCAGGCCGGAUUACCUGUAACAGCAGAAUUAUCCAGCUUGAUAUCUGAAAGCAAGUACGAAGAGGCUUUCACUAGGGCUUUACUGGAAAGCAAGUCCGAUGUCAACAUAUUAUCAUGGCUUUGCUCAAAGGUGAGACUUUUCUUUUUACAUGAAUAAGAGACCUCAUAAGCAUCAGUUUGACACAAGAUUCCAUGAGAUUUGGUUUCAGGUGGAUCUGCAUGCACUGUUGGCCAAGAAUCCUCUUCCUCUGAGCCAAGGACUUCUUUCUUCUUUGUUGCAACACCUAAACAACGACAUCAGCGACAUGUCCCUUAAGCUUGCUUGGUUGAAGGAUAUGUGGCUGCAGCCAUUAAACCAUCAGUCCAGGUGGAAACAAUAGCAGAAAUGUAUUACCAGCCCAAAACCUCUUAGCCAUUUUUUUAAGAAAAAUAGACCUAGUCAAAGAUGAAAUUAAUUGGCAAGUAAAGAGAGAUCAUGUCAUAGCCACCAGUAUAUUCUAUGCCUUACCUUUUUUGGUACACAUCAAUUCUAGAGAAAAAACUUCUCAUUCGAGGAUCUACGACUUUCAGAAAAUGCUACUUUUGUCUGUCAACUUAUCAACCAUAUACACAAUUGAAAAUGAAAAACUAGAGUCGCUGCACAUCAGAAACACCAUGACUUAUAUUUCACUGUAGUCCAAUGUAGAAAAAAAAAAAGAUAUUGCACUCUACACAUAAGGAAAACCACUUAAUUAGCUAAAUGCACAUUUGGUGAUAACUUAGGAAUUGUCGACGUUUGUAGGACCAUUAUACCCCUACUGUGUUCUACAUGUAUUCUAUUUUCCCGAUGCCCACAGCUUUUUAAUACAUCCUAUUUCUGAUAAACCAAAUAUACACUAAUCUAUUUCUGUCCGACAACUUGAUAUAUUCUAAUGUUUUGGAUAAACCAAAUAGCCACUUUCUCUUAUAUAUAUUCAAUUGUUCCUUUGUUCAUUGAAUCGUAUCCGACAUAACUCUUCUCUUAAAAGUCAGUUUCGUUCUCUUCAAUUUCCUUAUGGACCCAAUCGGUAGUGAAACGCCGCCUCCAGAUUUCCCCGAAGAAUGUUCGCGACGGGGGAAGAACCAGUGGACAUUAGGGUUACUCCGUACCACAAACCUUCUUGUAUCUCCAAAAUUCUCAACGCCUUAUAAAAAGAAGAAAUCUCUGUCAUCAGAGCUUCUUCAUUUAGAAAACUACUAGCAGUUGCAGAGAAACCCUCGUUCUCCGGCUGGUUUGGGUGUUUCCUUAUUUCCAGUCGAUUGAAAGUUGUUAAGGAUAAAAAACAAACCGAUUUUCGGAUUGCUUAAGGAUUGUGAAGUGGAGGAGAAAGGGAGGGUCGAAGCCAGUUUCGAUUUGGAUAGGCUGCCGAUGGAUCUCCUUAAUUAGAAAGCUCAUCAUCAUCUCUGAUCCAAAAAAAAAUGACAACUCAAGGGAAAAGAUAGUAGCCGGAGGAUAACGUUAAAAUAAUAAGUUAUGAGGACAUGAAAUGUUGUGAUUUUACUUUGUCUCCUUGACCAUAUACUUUGCUAAGAGAAACAUUUGAGCUUUUUAACAGAUUUUCUUUACUCUGUUUUCUGAUACAAAAGCUUCACCCAAACAUACAUUAUGACUUCUCCCUUUUAACUUACUAGCAACAAAAGCAGGGAUGGGUUCUCUCACCAACUCCCACUAACACUAUACUAACCUUGCUUAGUAGUCUACUUUUACAAACAACUCAUACAACAUCACAACACUGUUACACCAACUCCUUAAGCACACAACUCUUGAUAACUAGAACUCCUUAGUUCGGUUUGAGAACAAAAUGACUUUACUCAACAUGAAAAGAUGUGAUCCGUUUGCUCCGCCAAUUCCGAUUCCCUCUGUAUUUACGAGGAGACACUUUGUUUUAUGUCCCAUGUUGUUUGGUGAUGCUUAAUUAAACUUGUACUCUGUUAUUCACUAGGCCUAAUGUACACACAUUUAAACAAGCUACUUUAUAUUACAUUUGUAUACUAUACAUUUUAGCUUCUGCACAGAUUUACAAAACGCUACUUUAUAAUAUAUUUGUAUAUCAUAUAUUUUAGCCGUCCACAGUCGCAACAUACGUUUCCCUUUGUUGUAUGAGUUUUAAUAAACGAUCAUGUUACAGUUCACUAUAACACAUACAUUAAUAAUUAUAACCGUAUACCCACAUUUAAACAAUGAUACUAUAUAGUUUAUAUGUAUAAUAUACGUUCUAGCUGUCUACAAUCUCACAUACGUUUACAUUGUUCUAUGGGUUGUAAUAAAUUGUCAAAUUUGUUGUUUCAACAAAUACCUUCUUGAACACUUAGGACCAUCUACUUAAAUUUAUAACACUCUAACUUUCUUAUUGGUUGCUAAUAUUAUCUUUAGCUGAGUUGUGAAUGUUUUAUCCGGUUAAAAACAUUUUUAAGCUUUUGUGUUUUGUUUUGUUGAAGCUAAUAUUAUCUUUAAAGAAAAACACUUACAGUUUUAGCCGCUACACCAUCAUGUAGCAUAACAAUCGCAAUUUGUAUAUGUUUGUCUAAUACAAUUUACAAGCGACAUUUCUAAUUCUGAAUGUUAAACUUCAUUUGACUAACAUGAAUUCAUCUCGUCUUAUAUUAUGUGAUUUACCUAACUUCAUUAAACUUCAUUUGACUAAUAUGCAACUAUUUUAUUUUAUAUAAAGCUAUGUACUAGAAUAUCUAUCUUUUGAAUUAUAAUAGCAUGUAAAUAAUAUUUUAGCAAUGUAAAUAUAAUCUAACCGUCCACGUACCACGUUUUUCUGACAAACAUUCAUUAGUCAGUUGACAAACCCUCAUCAAAUCCACCACCCGAACACGGCGAUAGAUAUCUGAUUCACGCGUUUGGAAUUAACUAGUUUCAAUAACUCGAGAGAUCGAACACAUGAACAUUUUGCUCUAAAUAUCUAAAUAAAAAAGGAAAAGAUUUAUUCGUAUGUGAAAGAAAUCAAGCCAUCUGAUAUGAAAACAGAGAUACAUGCAUAUUUUCAUAGUUUUCUUCUUCUUAAAUCUACUGAAGAAGAAGCGAACAAAAAAAAAUUAGAUUGAAUUUCUUUUAAAAAAAAUACGAACUUGCUUAAACAAGUCAUAGAAAACCAUCAGAGAAAACCAUCAAUCUAUGAACAAGAUCAUAGCAAAAUAUAGUAAAAAACAAAAGAAAGAACAAAUGGCAGCAAGCUUUUACAGUAGCUGACAAAAAAAAAAAAAAGCUUUUACGGUAAAAAAAAUAAAAAUAUGUUCUAGUGAACGGAAAAAUAAAUAUCUAGAGAGAAUACGUUUAUCAUUUAGUAAAUAUAUUUCAUAUCUUAAAGAUUAUCAAAAUAUAUUGCCAACUGUCGGAUACCAAAUAAAGCCUACUCCUCUCUCCACACCAAAACAUAGUGCUAGGGAUCUUCAUGUAAUUUCAUGUCUCCUUGUGCUACAGUAAUAAUCAAACUAUUACUGUUAUAGGUACUUAGCUAAUUUGCAACUUCUUUUUGGAUUUUCACCUAAUUGUCUCAAAAAAAAAGUAAUGCCCAGGCCCCCCCUUACAAACAAGAAUCUAUGUAAUCUCUCAAAACCACUGACAAUACAACAGUAAGAAGAAGUAAAAGAAUCCAUUACACAGUUCAUGGAAGACUAAAGAUAUGACCAAAUCUUUUAUGUACAAACCUGCUUUGUAUCAUCUCAAUCAUAGCUCCCUCAGGACUCUAACAGUUGGUGGACAAUCUGUUCUCUGACCAGCCAGCGAGUAAUACGCUAGUAUAUGAGCAGGAUGCUCCACCUCACUUACCUCUCCCAUUUCAUCCACUUCCGGGACUCUUCUUGCUUGAAUCAGCUCUAUGUUCCAGUACGGUCUAGACAUUACCCUCAGAUCUUGCCCUGUCUCUGAAGCUCUGUACCCUUGCACCCACAGGUAUCUCAGCGAAGGCAGCUCCAUCACCGCUGCAGCGAUCGCUCUCUCGCUGAAGCAACACCCUCUCAUCUCCAGCUUCUGCAUCUUCGGACAACACCCUUCUCUCGAGAACUCCACCAAUCCUUUGUCUGUCUCACCAACUUUACCGAGAAGCAUCCAUCUCACGUUUGGACUAUACUGUCCUACGUAGCCUAACCCCACGUCCGUCAAGCCGCCUGGCCUGAGAUAGAACGCGAACCGUCUGAGUUUCUCGCAUCCCAUCAAGAGUGAUCUGACACCACUAUCCAGCGGCAAAUCUGCUACUAUUCUCUCUUCCUGGUCGAGCAAGACAAGGCGGAAGUCGCGGAGGUUUUUCAGAUACGCGCCUAUGGUUCGGAGACACUCGUUGGUUAUGUCUGUCACGUACACCGCCAUGUACUCUAGCUCCUUGCAGCCGUGAGCCAAAGCCGUUAGUCCUCUCUGUGUGACUAAAUAUCCCAAGUCCUCAUUCCCAUCUUCAUCUGCACCUCGUCUUUCGUCAUCCAUCUCUUCUUCAUCGGCACCCCGUUCGAUCCUCAGCCGCUUUAACUUCUUACAGUACUUUGCAAGAACCUCUAGACCGUUGUCUCCUAUUACAUUCCUCGUCUGAGAUAUACACCAAGAACUUGUCAGCCUUUACAUACAUAAUAGUUCACAAAGAAGAAAAAGUUACCUCAAGAACUUCCAGAUUAGAACACUUUUGGAUUAGUUUACAAUGAUCAUUAGUUUCGAGAAACGCAUAGAGCAGAUCCAGCUUCCGGAGUUGAGCAGCGAAUGGAAACAGUAUCGGCAUUUCGUUAGCUCCCAAGUAAGGGAGGCCCAGACGAGUUAGCUUUGGAGGGAAAGUCAGUUUCAAGUACUUCUCAGGCGUUUCUGGAUCCUCAUCCAAGGCGCCACCGCGAAACUCCUCGAGGUUAACAGCAGCGUUAAAGAACCCGACUAGCUCCAGCAUCUCAAUGUCACCGACCUUGACAGAAACCAGAGAGCGGUGGCAGUUCCUAGCUAUGGUUUCCAAGUCUUUGGGGCUGAUUUUUGUAAACUCAGUCAUGUAGAAGUUUAACACCUCGAGAGACGUGUUGUGCAGGGCAAGCUCGUGUAGCCAUUUACCAUCCUUUUCAAGGAAAGAACUGUCGUCCAUCACCAACGUUUUGAUUUUCCUGUCACAGACAACAUACAGAACCAUGAAGAAAGUGAGAAAACAACUCAAGAUAAAUUAGAAUUUUCAACUUAAACUGCAUAUAUACAACAGCAACAACCAAGCCAAUACUAUUUUGUAAACGACUUGAUCAUAAAUAUGAACUCCCAUGGAAUGGAAAUAGUAAUGAUUCCUUACUACACAUUAUAAUCAAGUCUUAAUGCAAGAACGAGAUUAAUGAACAUGAACUCCCUGAGAUAACAUUUCUGCAGAGGGCAGAUAUAUUGGAUUUUCAAUUUAAACUGCAUAUACACAACAUCAACCAAGUCAAUACUAUUUUGUAAACUGCAUAUACCAAGUAUUGAUUUCCUUACCAGACUUUAUAAUCACGUCUUUUUAAACAUGGGACCUAAUGCAAGAACAAGUUCGUUAAAAUGAACACAUAGAGGCAAUCUUUCUGCAGAUAACAGACAUAAUCAAUCGAUCGUUUUUGCUAAUCAGACAUAAACAAAAGUGCAAAGUAAAGCAGGAAACCAAAUAAAGUAAGGUUAAGAGGUAAAAGUCGGUUGAAUAAUUCUGCAAUCUAUUUAUAAUCAUCACAAGUGUAAAGUAAGGAGGUCCUUUAUACAAGUAGGCAUCAAAGUUUCUACUUAACCAAUUGAACUAAAGAAACAAUCUUUAAGAUACGAUUCUUUGUAAAAGUAAACACCCAAAAUGCAGCAAUCUUGUUAUUAUCAAGCGGCGUCGUUAUGAAGAUAAAGAGAGAUGCAAAAUUAUGUGAUAAACCUCAAGAGACAAUCUUUCUAUGCAGAUGCCAUAUAUAAUCAAGUCAACACUAUUACGUAAACGACUAGAUUAUAAACAUGAACUCCCAAUGGAAUGAAAAUAGUAUUUGAUUCCUUAUUAUAUACACUUUAUAAUCAAGUCUUUAUAAACACGGCACCUAAAUGCAGAGAAGGAGAUUAAUAGACCCUAAACUCCCACUCCGCAGAGACAAUCUCUCUGAAGAUGACAAAUAAUCAAUCAAAUCAAUCUCAUACAUAAACAAAAGUGCAAAGUGAAGUAACAAAUCAAGUAACGUAAGGUAACUAACCAAUUGAGCUAGAGAAUCACUCUUUUUAACUAUACAAUUCUUUUGUAAAGACCUAAAACGCAGCAAAUCUUGUUCUUAUCAAAAACGGCGUCGUUACGAAGAGUAAUCUUGUGUUAGUUACCUGCAGUGUCUAACGACGCUCAAGAGCCCAUCGCUAGAGAACCCCAAGCACUUAUCAAGCUUCAGAGCCUCGAGCUCAUCCCCCCUCGCUCUCGCCAAAACAUCAAGAUCCAAGUCGUUAACGAUCAUCCUCCUGAAAUGCACGGACCUGAUCCUCCGCAGCGACAAGGCGAUCUCGUUCACCCAGGGGGUAACAAACCCUCCCCAAUUCUCCGGGAUGAGGUUGAACAUCGCGGCGCGGGGCUUCCCUUUGAGCUUGAGCGACCUCAGGUUCGGGAACCGAGCGCUGAGACGAUCGGGUGCGGAGGCGUAGCAUAGGGCCAUGGUGACGUGGUAUCUCGUCUCGGAGUCCGCUCUGAGCCACGUUCGGUUGACGAGGGAGGCGGAUUCGCGGUCUUUGGGGUCGGUUAAGUAAGGCAUGACUAGCGAGAUGACGUCAUCGGCGUUCCGCGGGGUUGAUCGAAGCUUCUUGGUAUCGGGAUCCUCCAUCGUCAAGAUUCGAUUCGUUUCGUCGAGCAACGGAUUGAAAGGAGGAGGAGGAGGAAGAAGAAGAAGGCAGAGAUUCGAGUAAGCAAGGACACGCGUCGGAAGAAGAGAUUGGGAGAGGAAUCAAUAUAAGAGAAUCUCUCUACUCUGUUGUUUGUUGAUAAUAUUUUAUUUUAUUUUAUUUUGGGAUCUAGUGGGCACACAAAAUAAUAUUUGAUUUUUGACCUUUAUAUUAUACAGUGUGUUACUGAAGUUAGACGACGAUAUUUGUAUCAGAGUGAUUUAUUUUCCAUUAUUAAUAGUUAACGUCUUAUAACUUUUGCGUACAUGUGGGUGAUUUAUUUUCCAUUAUCUAUCUAUUAUCUAUUCUAUUAAAAGAGAACCAUUCUAAAAAAAUCUACUUAUACAAGGUUACUGCACCCUUUCAUUUAAGUAACAAUUAUUUGGUUUUACCAUCUAUUAGCCCAAUAACAAAAUAUAACCUUAUGUUUAGCUAACUAUAUUUAUUACGCCUUAUCUAAACCAGUAGUAUAACAACUUUAUAUUUGAUAGACCAAAACAUGUUUUACACGAUAAUAUAAAACACGAUACAUGUUAUACACAAGACACUAUACACUAUAUAGUUUAUUCAUUGAGUCCUGCUCAUGUUGAUGACAGUUAUCUGUACAAUAAUCAUAUCACAUGUAUUCCUCUCUUAGACCCAAACGCCAAAUGGCAAUGCCUUCAUUCAAUUGAAAGACCAGAUCAUACCCUAACCUCGAUGAAACAACACAUUCAUUCUCAAUCUGCCAAAAUGAUUCAGAGCAUAACAUUACAUAUACUGUAUCAUUUUGAAUAAAACUUAUCUGGUAAAAUACUGUAUCAUUUUGAAUCAAUCUAAUAUGGCAAAGUAUUAGUGCUUAUACCAAGUCUCUUCUUUGAGAGGGUUCUUAGUUCGUUCUUAAUCUGAGAAGUUCGUUCUUUAUUAAUUCAUUCUUAUCUAUCAAAGUUAAAGUCUGUUUUUAAGAAAUCGGAUCAAGUUUAUAAUAACCACGUUAUCCUAACUAUAUAUAGUUAUAAUAUUUUCAAAUUUAGUAUUAACGACCAUAAGUUAUUAAUUUGCUAGCAUAAAUUUUUCUAACCUACUUUAACUGAAUAGAUUUUCGAAACAAUCUGUUCGAUACAAUUUUAAAUACAUAAAAACCGAAAUCUUAGAAUACUUGAUCUACAAGUUUCGUAUUAACUACAAUACAUGAUAAUUUUCCGUGCAAAAAAAUUAUGUUACCUACUUUAACUGGAUAAACAUUAUCGUGUAGAAUUUAUAUUCCAAUAAUAUUCCUUAUUCCUCCAACUAAAAAAUCAUAUCAGAUCUUAAUAUUCAACCUUAAAUAUGCGUAUCUUGUGCUAAGAACUGACCCAAACCCGAAAAAAUUUAUGAAUACCUAUUAGAUUCAAAUUUCUAGGAUCCGAAGGACCCAGAUCCGAAAAAAAUUGGACCAAACCCAACCCAAAGACUCAAACGUCCAGGCCUAAGUGUAUGAAUGAGCAUUCAGGUACCCAUUUGGGUACGAGUCAGUUCUUUAGGGUAUUAGAAUUUUUGAGUUCUUGGGUAGGGUUCGAGUCGGUCCUCCCAGAUACGGAUAUGUUCGGUUCUAAUGUAUAUGAACCUGAAAAUAACCAAAUAACCAAUGUAUCUGAAACAUGUUUGUCAUGUUUGUACUACCUGAACCGACCUAAUUUUAAAAUAUAACUAAUAUAUAUUUACAUUUGGAUAUCUUAGAAUACUCAUUCGGUUUUCGGUUUAGGUCGGGUAAUUUUUUUUUAAUCUGAAUUCUUCGAGUCCUCGACAUUUGGAUCCAAUUAGGUAUUUGAAAUAUUUUCGGUUAUAGUUCAGUUUGAUUCCUUUUGGAAUCGAGUCAAUACGAGUCCAUAAUUCAAAUAACCCUAAAAUACAUGUAAUUUGAGUACGUAAUAGUCUAGCUCAGUUUGGAUAUUUAGGAGCAAAAAAAAAAUUGAAAGUACCCGACCGAAAGACGAAAAAUACCUAAAAUACUAAUUCAUAUCCAACUUUAUUUAUAACCCAAACAAAAUCCGCGCUUUUGAAGCGCGGGUAAAAAUCUAGUUAAUAGUUAACAUCUUAUAACUUUUGCGUACAUGUGGACAAUGAACAAACAUGUGUACACAGAUAAUUAUAGCAUCCAUUUGUAGAACAAUUGUGAUAAUAUACAUGUGUACAUGUAUAACAACAAGCUCAUUUUAGAGUUACACAAAACAAUGAAAAUUCUAGAUAUAUUCAUGAGAAGUGAAAUAUACGAGUCUCAAAUUUUGAAGUUAACAACGACGGUGUCUUUGUCACCGUCUUCUUCAUGCUCUCCUCCAUUCUUGAUCCAAGGACGAAGACGAAGCAGCCGAAGAAUAAGAAGACAUGGCUCAAGUAGAACUUGUAUGGUUUCGACCCACGAGUCUAUGACUACAAGUCUACAAUUCUAAAACCUGCAAACCAUUUCAAAACUGUUCUGUUUCAGCUGUAUCCAUUUUUUUAUUCUCUUUGAUUUCAACACUCUGUUGUUUACGUCUCCGCAGCCAUCUCUAUCAUAUACGUCGAUGGCAUCUACAUCUCUGUCAUUAUCUAUGUCUCCGCCUUCUUCUACUUCUCCGCCAUCGUCUAUACGUCGAUGACGCCUACGUCUCCGCUAUUGUCAAUGUCACCAUUACACCACCAUUCAACCAUUAGCUUUGACAUAUCUCAAAAAACAGAUCAAAGAGUAGAGAUAAUAAUUUAAGGUAACAUUUUUGAAAAAACAAAUCUAGAGAAGUGGAUUUUAUUUUACAAAAAAAAUGGAAGAGAAAGAAAACGAAGAAGAAAGAGAAUGAUACUCACAAUGUCUUUUGGAUUUAUUGGUUAAGAAAUAUAUUAAAUUAAUUGAGAAAUAAAAAAGAGUAAUUUAGGAAUUUGGUGUGGUCUAUAUGUGAUGUUUAUUCUUGUUUCUUGUCCAAAACUGCCCUGAAAGCAAAAAGUGUUUUAUUAUGUUAUAAAAAACUUGAAACUGUUUUUGAAUUUGAAUGUAAUUCUUUCCUUGUAUUAUAUCAAGUAAAGCCAAUCUCUUUUGCUAAACGACUAUGUAAACAGAAUAUUAACAAGAUGUGGUUAUGCAAUGGAUGAUUACGUACGGCGUGAUGAUUAUUUAUUAGCUUAAUUCUGCGAUUAAUUUAAAACUUUUCUGGGGUUAAGGACAACGUUUUCUGUUGUUGAUAGCUAAAAGUAGUUUCCUGGUGGCCCAUAAUAGUUGGGGUUAAACUAUAUGAUUGUUAUGUAUGUAUGGAGCUAUGUGAAUUAUUAAAAAAAAUUGCAUGAUGAUGUAUAUAAAUCCAUAGAUGACUUCAUCAAACUGGCCAAUAAAAUACUAUCAAAAUUGAAUAUAAUUUGUGAAUUUUUAUGUAAAUAAAAGUUUCAUUUAAAUCAAUCAUAAAUUUUUAUGUUCUAAAAAUUGGUUUAGGUAUUGACUAUUGUCCGACUAGGCGGCACGGCAAAUUGGACCUAAAGGAUUUUUAUAGAAUGAUUUUUAAAAAAAAAAAUCGGUCUAAGCAUUCAAAAAAAUUAGUCUAGUCUUCCACCUAAGCAAUAAUCUUCUAUAAAGCAUUUAUUUUACCGCCUACAAUUUUUCGAAGAUUGGUCUUGGCAGUCCCGGCUCUAACCUAUGGCCACAUUGAUAAUUGCUAUGGAUCCAUGGAUCCAAACAAAAUUUUGGUAUUAUUUUACUAAUUAGAAAAUUCUAUUUUAAUUUGUUAAAUUAUCAAUUAGCUGGUGAAUUUAUAACAAAAAAGCUCAUGAUUAACAAAACCAAUUUUAAAUACAACAGGACAAUAUUUAUUUUUUUUAAACUUCACCGUUCUUAAUUUUUUUACAACAAAACCUAAUUUACACUUAAAGGUCCAUUUUUUUCUUUUAAUACCACAAAUUUUUUUUGCUCCAAUUUAAAGAAAUGCACUAAUUUUUUUGUUAAAAGGGUGUCUAUUUUAUGUUUGGCGUAAGGCCAUUAAAAUUUUUAAGACGGCACUGGUCUUGGUGUUAGGUUGAGAAACCAAAAUUGGGGAAGCUUUGCAACUUGAUGGUUCCUUGUGCUUUGACAGCACUUGACCAUUGGUCUCCACAAGUUAAAGUAAGUCCUUUGGUGUUGUAAUGGCAUUUUUCUCUUAUUAGUUGUAAACAUGAGGCCAUAUAGUGAAUGAGAAUAUGAUGUUCUUUGUUUGCUUUUGAUGACAGGGGCAGGGCAGGGUAAUAAGCUUUAUUCAUCUAAGCUAAAAAUGGUGAUCUUGGAUUGUAUGGAAACGUGUGGUUCUUGAUGCUUGUUGCCAGAAUAUAGCCUCAGAUGAUGAGAUGUGGAUACAUGUGGUGGAGUUAUCUGUGCUUCUUGUUACUAAACUCCAUCCAAAUAAUCCCGAAACAGUACAAGUUUUGUGAUCAAUCUUAUAUGUACUUUACCUUUGAAUGGUAUAACAACUACACCAACAUAAACUCUUGAAACCAUAUACACAAUUGAAAAUGAAAAAAUAGAGUCGCUGCACAUCAGAAACACCAUGACUUAUAUUUCACUGUAGUCCAAUGUAGAAAAAAAGUAAUGCCCAGGCCCCCCCUUACAAACAAGAAUCUAUGUAAUCUCUCAACACCACUAACAAUACAACAGUAAGAAGAAGAAGUAAAAGAAUCCAUUACACAGUUCAUGGAAGACUAAAGAUAUGACCAAAUCUUUUAUGUACAAACCUGCUUUGGAUCAUCAAUCAUAGCUCCCUCAGGACUCUAACAGUUGGUGGACAAUCUGUUCUCUGACCAGCCAGCGAGUAAUACGCCAGUAUAUGAGCAGGAUGCUCCAUCUCUCUCACAUCUCCUAGGUUCACUUCCGGGACUCUUCUUGCUUGAAUCAGCUCAAUGUUCCAGUUCGGUCGAGACAUUACCCUCAGAUCUUGUCCCGUCACCGAUUCUCUGUACCCUUGUACCCACAAGUAUCUCAGCGAAGGCAGUUUCAUCACCGCUGCAGCGAUUGCUCUCUCGCUGAAGCAACACCCUCUCAUCUCCAGCUUCUGCAGCUUCGGACACCCUUUUGAGAAUUCCAUUAGUCCUUCGUCUGUUUCACCAACGUAGCCAAGAAGCAUCCAUCUCACGUUUGGACUGUACUGUCCGAUGUAUCUUAACCCCACGUCUGUUAAGCCGCCUGGCCUGAGAUAGAAUGCAAACCGUCUGAGCUUCUCGCAUCCGAUCAAGAGGGAUCUGACUCCGUUGUCCAGCGGCAAAUCUCUUAUCCUCUCUUCCUGGUCGAGCAAGACAAGGCGGAAGUCGCUGAGGUUUUUCAGAUACGCGCCUAUGGUUCGGAGAGACUCGUUGCUUAUGUCUGUGACGUACACCGCCAUGUAUUCUAGCUCCUGGCAGCCCUUAGCCAAAGCCGUUAAUCCUCUCUGUGUGACAAAACCUCCCAAGUCCUCAUUCCCUUGUUCAUCUGCACCCCAUCUUUCGUCCAUCAUCCCUUCUUCAUCUGCACCCUGUUCGAUCCUCAGCCGCUUCAACUGCUUACAGCACUGUGCAAGAACCUCUAGACCCUUAUCUCCGAUCACAUUCCUCGUCUGAGAGAUACACACCAAGAACUUGUCAGCCUUUACAUACAAAAUAAAUAGUUCAUAAAGAAGAAAAAGUUACCUCAAGAACUUCCAAAUUAGGACACUUUUUGAUUAGUUUACAAUGAUCAUUAGUUUCGAGAAACGUAUAGAGCAGAUCCAGCUUCCGGAUUUGGGCAGCGAAUGGGAAUAUCAUUGGCAUUUCGUUAGCUCCAAAGUAAGUGAGGCCCAGACGACUUAGCUUUGGAGGGAAAGUGAGUUUGAUGUACUUGUCAGGUGUUUCAGGAGUAAAGGCGCCACCACAAAACUCCUCAAGGUUAACAGCAGCGUUAAAGAACCGGACUAGCUCCAGCAUCUCAACGUCACCGACCUUGACAGAGACCAGAGAGCGGUGGCAGUUCCUAGCUAUGGUUUCCAAGUCUCUGGGGCUGAGUUUUGUGAGCUCGGUCAUGUACAAGUUUAACACCUCGAGAGACGUGUUGUGCAGGGCAAGCUCGUGUAGCCAGUUACCGUCCUUUUCAAGAAAUGAACUCUCUUCCAUCACCAACGUUUUGAUAUUCCUGUCAAAGAAAACAGACGGAACAAUGAACCAAGUGAGAAAACAACUCAACAUAAAAUUGCAUAUGCACAACAGCGACAACCCAUUCAAGGAUACAUGAACUCGCAGAGACAAUCUUUCUAUGCAAAUGACAUAUAUAAUCAAGUCAACGCUAUUAUGUAAACGACUUUGAUUAUAAACAUUGAACUCCCAGUGGAAUGAAAAUAGUAUUUGAUUCCUUACUAUACUUUACAAUCAAGUCUCCAGAAACACGGCACCUAAUGCAAUGAACGACAUUAUAAACAUUGAACUCCCAGAGACAAUCUUUUUUGAUAGAACCCCCCGCCAAAGUUUCUAAUUCCACAACUGAUAAUUUUCUCAAGUUGCAGGCAUAACAAUGGCAAGUGUAAAGUGUAGCAAGGUCCUUUAUACAAGUAGGCACCAACGUUUCUACUUAGUCAACUUGUUCUUAUAAAAACGGCAUCGUUAUGAAGAUAAAGAGAGUUGCAAAAGUAUGUGAUAAACCUCAAGAACCAAUCGACAUUAUAAACAUUGAACUCCUCCAAAAGUGCAAAGUAUUAGCACGUAAGGUCCUCUCUACACAAGUAACUAACCAAUUGAGCUAGCAAAUCUUGUUCUUAUCAAAAACGGCGUCGUUACGAAGAGUAAUCUUGUGUUAGUUACCUGCAGUGUCUAACGACGCUCAAGAGCCCAUCGGUAGAGAACCCUAAGCACUUAUCAAGCUUCAGAACCUCGAGCUCAUCCCCCCUCGCUCUCGCCAAAACAUCAAGAUCCAAAUCACGCACGAUCAUCCUCCUGAAAUGCACCGACCUGAUCCUCCGGAGCGACAAGGCGAUCUCGUUCACCCAGGGGGUAACGAACCCUCCCCAAUUAUCGGGGAUGAGGUUGAACAUCGCGGCGCGAGGCUUCCCUUUGAGCAGGCCCGGCUCAAAAGAAUUUUGGGCCCUUGGCAAAAUAAUCAAAAAUUUUUUUUUUUACAUAAUUAUAUGAUAACUUAAAAAUUUCGGGCCUUAUCUUCAAUUUUUUUAAAAAUAUUGGGCCCCUUUUCAAUACUAUUUAUGCAAAAAAUCUUUUGGGCCCUAGGCCAAUGCCCCUUUGCCCACCCUCCUGAGCCGGGCCUGAUGGAAGAGAAAGAAAACGAAGAAGAAAGAGAAUGAUACUCACAAUGUCUUUUGGAUUUAUUGGUUAAGAAAUAUAUUAAAUUAAUUGAGAAAUAAAAAAGAGUAAUUUAGGAAUUUGGUGUGGUCUAUAUGUGAUGUUUAUUCUUGUUUCUUGUCCAAAACUGCCCUGAAAGCAAAAAGUGUUUUAUUAUGUUAUAAAAAACUUGAAACUGUUUUUGAAUUUGAAUGUAAUUCUUUCCUUGUAUUAUAUCAAGUAAAGCCAAUCUCUUUUGCUAAACGACUAUGUAAACAGAAUAUUAACAAGAUGUGGUUAUGCAAUGGAUGAUUACGUACGGCGUGAUGAUUAUUUAUUAGCUUAAUUCUGCGAUUAAUUUAAAACUUUUCUGGGGUUAAGGACAACGUUUUCUGUUGUUGAUAGCUAAAAGUAGUUUCCUGGUGGCCCAUAAUAGUUGGGGUUAAACUAUAUGAUUGUUAUGUAUGUAUGGAGCUAUGUGAAUUAUUAAAAAAAAUUGCAUGAUGAUGUAUAUAAAUCCAUAGAUGACUUCAUCAAACUGGCCAAUAAAAUACUAUCAAAAUUGAAUAUAAUUUGUGAAUUUUUAUGUAAAUAAAAGUUUCAUUUAAAUCAAUCAUAAAUUUUUAUGUUCUAAAAAUUGGUUUAGGUAUUGACUAUUGUCCGACUAGGCGGCACGGCAAAUUGGACCUAAAGGAUUUUUAUAGAAUGAUUUUUAAAAAAAAAAAUCGGUCUAAGCAUUCAAAAAAAUUAGUCUAGUCUUCCACCUAAGCAAUAAUCUUCUAUAAAGCAUUUAUUUUACCGCCUACAAUUUUUCGAAGAUUGGUCUUGGCAGUCCCGGCUCUAACCUAUGGCCACAUUGAUAAUUGCUAUGGAUCCAUGGAUCCAAACAAAAUUUUGGUAUUAUUUUACUAAUUAGAAAAUUCUAUUUUAAUUUGUUAAAUUAUCAAUUAGCUGGUGAAUUUAUAACAAAAAAGCUCAUGAUUAACAAAACCAAUUUUAAAUACAACAGGACAAUAUUUAUUUUUUUUAAACUUCACCGUUCUUAAUUUUUUUACAACAAAACCUAAUUUACACUUAAAGGUCCAUUUUUUUCUUUUAAUACCACAAAUUUUUUUUGCUCCAAUUUAAAGAAAUGCACUAAUUUUUUUGUUAAAAGGGUGUCUAUUUUAUGUUUGGCGUAAGGCCAUUAAAAUUUUUAAGACGGCACUGGUCUUGGUGUUAGGUUGAGAAACCAAAAUUGGGGAAGCUUUGCAACUUGAUGGUUCCUUGUGCUUUGACAGCACUUGACCAUUGGUCUCCACAAGUUAAAGUAAGUCCUUUGGUGUUGUAAUGGCAUUUUUCUCUUAUUAGUUGUAAACAUGAGGCCAUAUAGUGAAUGAGAAUAUGAUGUUCUUUGUUUGCUUUUGAUGACAGGGGCAGGGCAGGGUAAUAAGCUUUAUUCAUCUAAGCUAAAAAUGGUGAUCUUGGAUUGUAUGGAAACGUGUGGUUCUUGAUGCUUGUUGCCAGAAUAUAGCCUCAGAUGAUGAGAUGUGGAUACAUGUGGUGGAGUUAUCUGUGCUUCUUGUUACUAAACUCCAUCCAAAUAAUCCCGAAACAGUACAAGUUUUGUGAUCAAUCUUAUAUGUACUUUACCUUUGAAUGGUAUAACAACUACACCAACAUAAACUCUUGAAACCAUAUACACAAUUGAAAAUGAAAAAAUAGAGUCGCUGCACAUCAGAAACACCAUGACUUAUAUUUCACUGUAGUCCAAUGUAGAAAAAAAGUAAUGCCCAGGCCCCCCCUUACAAACAAGAAUCUAUGUAAUCUCUCAACACCACUAACAAUACAACAGUAAGAAGAAGAAGUAAAAGAAUCCAUUACACAGUUCAUGGAAGACUAAAGAUAUGACCAAAUCUUUUAUGUACAAACCUGCUUUGGAUCAUCAAUCAUAGCUCCCUCAGGACUCUAACAGUUGGUGGACAAUCUGUUCUCUGACCAGCCAGCGAGUAAUACGCCAGUAUAUGAGCAGGAUGCUCCAUCUCUCUCACAUCUCCUAGGUUCACUUCCGGGACUCUUCUUGCUUGAAUCAGCUCAAUGUUCCAGUUCGGUCGAGACAUUACCCUCAGAUCUUGUCCCGUCACCGAUUCUCUGUACCCUUGUACCCACAAGUAUCUCAGGGAAGGCAGUUUCAUCACCGCUGCAGCGAUUGCUCUCUCGCUGAAGCAACACCCUCUCAUCUCCAGCUUCUGCAGCUUCGGACACCCUUUUGAGAAUUCCAUUAGUCCUUCGUCUGUUUCACCAACGUAGCCAAGAAGCAUCCAUCUCACGUUUGGACUGUACUGUCCGAUGUAUCUUAACCCCACGUCUGUUAAGCCGCCUGGCCUGAGAUAGAAUGCAAACCGUCUGAGCUUCUCGCAUCCGAUCAAGAGGGAUCUGACUCCGUUGUCCAGCGGCAAAUCUCUUAUCCUCUCUUCCUGGUCGAGCAAGACAAGGCGGAAGUCGCUGAGGUUUUUCAGAUACGCGCCUAUGGUUCGGAGAGACUCGUUGCUUAUGUCUGUGACGUACACCGCCAUGUAUUCUAGCUCCUGGCAGCCCUUAGCCAAAGCCGUUAAUCCUCUCUGUGUGACAAAACCUCCCAAGUCCUCAUUCCCUUGUUCAUCUGCACCCCAUCUUUCGUCCAUCAUCCCUUCUUCAUCUGCACCCUGUUCGAUCCUCAGCCGCUUCAACUGCUUACAGCACUGUGCAAGAACCUCUAGACCCUUAUCUCCGAUCACAUUCCUCGUCUGAGAGAUACACACCAAGAACUUGUCAGCCUUUACAUACAAAAUAAAUAGUUCAUAAAGAAGAAAAAGUUACCUCAAGAACUUCCAAAUUAGGACACUUUUUGAUUAGUUUACAAUGAUCAUUAGUUUCGAGAAACGUAUAGAGCAGAUCCAGCUUCCGGAUUUGGGCAGCGAAUGGGAAUAUCAUUGGCAUUUCGUUAGCUCCAAAGUAAGUGAGGCCCAGACGACUUAGCUUUGGAGGGAAAGUGAGUUUGAUGUACUUGUCAGGUGUUUCAGGAGUAAAGGCGCCACCACAAAACUCCUCAAGGUUAACAGCAGCGUUAAAGAACCGGACUAGCUCCAGCAUCUCAACGUCACCGACCUUGACAGAGACCAGAGAGCGGUGGCAGUUCCUAGCUAUGGUUUCCAAGUCUCUGGGGCUGAGUUUUGUGAGCUCGGUCAUGUACAAGUUUAACACCUCGAGAGACGUGUUGUGCAGGGCAAGCUCGUGUAGCCAGUUACCGUCCUUUUCAAGAAAUGAACUCUCUUCCAUCACCAACGUUUUGAUAUUCCUGUCAAAGAAAACAGACGGAACAAUGAACCAAGUGAGAAAACAACUCAACAUAAAAUUGCAUAUGCACAACAGCGACAACCCAUUCAAGGAUACAUGAACUCGCAGAGACAAUCUUUCUAUGCAAAUGACAUAUAUAAUCAAGUCAACGCUAUUAUGUAAACGACUUUGAUUAUAAACAUUGAACUCCCAGUGGAAUGAAAAUAGUAUUUGAUUCCUUACUAUACUUUACAAUCAAGUCUCCAGAAACACGGCACCUAAUGCAAUGAACGACAUUAUAAACAUUGAACUCCCAGAGACAAUCUUUUUUGAUAGAACCCCCCGCCAAAGUUUCUAAUUCCACAACUGAUAAUUUUCUCAAGUUGCAGGCAUAACAAUGGCAAGUGUAAAGUGUAGCAAGGUCCUUUAUACAAGUAGGCACCAACGUUUCUACUUAGUCAACUUGUUCUUAUAAAAACGGCAUCGUUAUGAAGAUAAAGAGAGUUGCAAAAGUAUGUGAUAAACCUCAAGAACCAAUCGACAUUAUAAACAUUGAACUCCUCCAAAAGUGCAAAGUAUUAGCACGUAAGGUCCUCUCUACACAAGUAACUAACCAAUUGAGCUAGCAAAUCUUGUUCUUAUCAAAAACGGCGUCGUUACGAAGAGUAAUCUUGUGUUAGUUACCUGCAGUGUCUAACGACGCUCAAGAGCCCAUCGGUAGAGAACCCUAAGCACUUAUCAAGCUUCAAAACCUCGAGCUCAUCCCCCCUCGCUCUCGCCAAAACAUCAAGAUCCAAAUCACGCACGAUCAUCCUCCUGAAAUGCACCGACCUGAUCCUCCGGAGCGACAAGGCGAUCUCGUUCACCCAGGGGGUAACGAACCCUCCCCAAUUAUCGGGGAUGAGGUUGAACAUCGCGGCGCGAGGCUUCCCUUUGAGCAGGCCCGGCUCAAAAGAAUUUUGGGCCCUUGGCAAAAUAAUCAAAAAUUUUUUUUUUUACAUAAUUAUAUGAUAACUUAAAAAUUUCGGGCCUUAUCUUCAAUUUUUUUAAAAAUAUUGGGCCCCUUUUCAAUACUAUUUAUGCAAAAAAUCUUUUGGGCCCUAGGCCAAUGCCCCUUUGCCCACCCUCCUGAGCCGGGCCUGCCUUUGAGCUUGAGCGACCUCAGGUUCGGGAACCGGCGGGCGAGGCGAUCGGGUGCGGAGGCGUAGCAUAGGGCCAUGGUGACGUGGUCUCUCGUCUCCGAGUCCGCUCUGAGCCACGUUCGGUUGACGAGGGAGGCGGAUUCGCGGUCUUUGGGGUCGGUUACGUACGGCAUGACUAUCGAGAUGACGUCAUCGGCGUUCCGCGGGGUUGAUCUGAGCUUCUUGUUAUCGGGAUCCUCCAUCGUCGUCGUCCGUCGUCAAGAUUCGAUUCGUUUCGUCGGAGAUUCGAGUAAGCAAGGACACGCGUCGGAAGAAGAGAGUGGGAGAGGAAUCAAUAUAUAAGAGAAUCUCUCUACUCUGUUGUUUGUUGAUAUUAAUUUUUUUUUUUUUUGGGAUCACAGAAUAAUAUUUGAUUUUUGACCUUUUUAUAUUAUAUACAGUGUGUUACAGAAGUUAGACGACGAUAUUUGUAUUUAUAUCAAGUAAAGCCAGAUCUCUUUUGCUAAACGACAAUGUAAACAGAAUAUUAACAAGAUGUGGUUAUGCAAUAUGGAUGAUUGAUUACGUACGGCGUGAUGAUUAUUUAUUAGCUUAAUUCUGCGAUUAGUUUAAGCUUUUUUGGGUUAAGGACAAUUUUUUCUGUUGUUGAUAGCUAAAAGUAGUUCCCUUGUGGCCCAUAAUAAUUGGGGUUAAACUAGAUGAUAACAAUGAUUGUUAUGUAUGCAUAUUACACCAUCUCCAUCAAUAAGAACCUCUUAUGGACUCUAAUCAAUAAAUUAGUAAUAAAUAUAGUGAUUUGAAAGGUUUAAAACUUUUGUUAAUUUAAUUUAAGUUUUUCUCGUCCAAUGGUAGAACCUCAUUGAGGUUCUUAAAAAACAAAAUUAUUUUUCUAAAAUUAGAAUGAUUUGAUUUCAUAACAUGAAAAACAUAAAAAAAAUAUUAAAAAAGACAUUACAACAUAUUGAAAAUACAAAUACUAAUCGUAAACGAGAAAAAACCGAUUAGUCGAAAUCUUGAUUUGUUCCAAAUUUUUGCUAGAUGUUCUCAACCAAAAUUUUGCCAGAUGUUCUCAACGAAAUCAGCUUUCAAUUGUUGAUAUAUUUUGUUAUCACGGACUCGACUCCGAAUGCUCAUUAUAUUCCCGAGAUUUGAAGGCAUAUCUGAUGAAAACUCGAAAUUCACUUGUGAAUUUCGGUUUGAUUCCGGUUGUUCGAAACAAACCAUUUCACCAACAAGUUCCCACAAUAUUUUGGGAAAUUUUUGGUGAAAUGGUUUGUUGCAAGGGUAAGAGAAGCACAGGAGAGUUGGUGAAAUGGUUUGUUGCAAGUGAAACACAAUAUUUUAGGAACUUGUUGUUUUAGGUGAAAUGGUAAGAGAAAUGGCAAAGUUUGGAUGUUGUUUUCUUUUACAGUCGGAAGAGAAAUAAACAAAGGAAACACAUCUCAAAAGGGUUCUUGAAACACAACUCAAACUCGCUUGCUUUACAACAUACAAAUUUUGAACUUAUAAAGACAAGGAAACACAUGUUGCUUUAUAACUUGCAAGUCACAUGAUACAGUCAAUAAAGACAAGGAAAAACAUGUUCUUUUACGUUCAGGCAGGAAGAGGAAAAAAACAGAACAUGAGCAUUUCUUCUUGUCUUCUUCAUUACAUGACAUGGGAACACAACUUGCACCUGCCAAAAAAUUUGAUCAGAGACCAUACAGAAGCACGAGACAAACAGAGCAACAGAAUACACAACUUGCACUCACAACAUGACCUGCAGAAGCACGAGCCAAACAGAGCAACAAAAUACACAAGUCUCAGUAUAGGCUUCAGCCUUAGCUCCAGAGAUGUUUAAUUGUCUUUCUAAUUGUCUUCCACCUGCUAAAAAUGUGAUCAGAGACCAUACAGACAAAGAGAGCAACAUAAUACAGUUAUCACACAAGACAAAGGUGUGAUUUAACUUAAGCCAAAAGAAAGUGUUCUCAAUGGAUCAAAUGAUAGAGUAUGGUUACUUACAAGAAACACAUAGAUUGUAGUUGCCACUGAUGCUCCAAUGAAACCUUCCCAUGUUUUCUUAGGAGACAAUUUUAUCAAAGGAGUCUUCUCAAAAUAGAAACCAACGAAGUAAGCUGCUACAUCGUUCAUAGCAAUAAGCUCUGCUGGAAGAAGAAACCGGCAUACAUACAUCCAUUUAAUAAACAUGUUGCUAUAUGUUUCAGAGAUAUAUAUAAAAACUCAUGUGUAUCAACCGAGGAACCCAAGAUCAUCAUCAUAACUUGUUAAAAUCAACCAACACUAACUCGGUUUCUAUGCAAAAGAUUCGAUUUUUUCCAACAAACACACGAUAAUCUACUAGUAAAAUAUUUCACCUUCCUCAAGAUCAUCAUGCAAAAUCAUCAUCGACAUUAAUUUUUACAGACAGUUUUUCUACAGAGAAGAGAAAGGGGUGUUCGCACUUAUCUCGCCUCUUGUAUAACUUUCAUCCUUUCCUCGAUGUUUCUCUUGAAGCUGAUUCAUGUGAAGAACUUCCUUCUGUCUUCUGAUCUUCAUCAGAGCAUCAACGCAUGGGAGGAAACGACAUCGACACCGCAUUGACGAAAACAGCGAAUCGAGUGCCGAUUGGCUUCGGAAUCGACAAAGAAUGGACAGCGAAGGAUAUCGACAGAGAAUCAAUGGAGAAGAUGGAGAGAUCGAGCUUUGGAGGAGGAAGAGAAACAAAAGUGAUUACGGGAGAAAACCCGACGGAGGAGAGAGACACGUUAAGUUGUGGUCGAAUAAGAGAGUGCCACGUAGGGGUCCUUACCAAACCUAAAAAUCCUAAUUUAAACACCGGUCCUCUCUUUUAUUUUCAUUUUUCAUUUAUUUUUCUCCUAUUUUUUCUAAGAAACCUAGCGUAAGAAGCCACGAUGGACCUGCUCUUAGUUUGUAUGAACUAUUGAACAAGAAUACAUAUUGCAUGAUGAUGAUUUCAUUUAAAUUGACCAAUAAAAUACUAUUAAUAAUUGAAUAUGAUUUGUGAAUUUUUUUACGUAUAUAAAGUUUCAUUAAAAUCAAUCACAAAUUAAUAAACUAAAUGACAAAAAUAUUUUGUUGGAUUUGACAGUGAAAAAGACACUCAAAGAAUGUAACUCAAGAUUCUACUCCACACAAACCAAAACAGCACAAGAAAUAGAUGUACGUACACCUUUGUGAUUUAUCAUAGGGAAAAUUGGAAAAAUGGGACACUCUCAACUUUUAUUUGUCCUUUUAGUACUUCUGAUAUUUUUAGCAAUUCUAGACAUGUUUUACCCUUCUUUUAUGGGAAAAGUAGUAAACUGAAUUUUAAAAAUGUAAAAAAAUAUUAAGACUAUUGGAAACAUAAGUAUGACAAUAUAUAUGCUUAAUUUUUUUUUUUGAAAAAAGUUGAAUCAUAUUUUAUUUUAUUUUCUAGCUACAGUUAGAAAACACAUUCUAGUAAUCUACUUAAUUUAGAAAUCGGAUACUAAGUUUUAUACAUAGAUAUAUCCAGGGUAUAUAGCGUAAACUAAUAUUUCUUAUAUAUUCUAACGAAACUAUAAUCUGUUACGUUAUAAUCAAGAAAAUUGUCUUCAAUCUACCUACAGCUUGAUAACGACAUAUAGCUACAACGCAAUGAUAUACCUUAUCUAUAUUAUUUGUCAUAAUAUGUUCUGCCUUUUACCUUAUGUGACGCUUAAUGAAGAAUGUGUUUCUCAUCUACUCUACUAUGUUCUGCGUAAGGUAGGCUACAUAUUCUAGACAAAUCCGAAAAAUAUGGAAACUUCCAUAUUUGGUUAAAGAUGUUUCCUAAAUCUAAACUAAAUCUACCCUAAAUCUCUCAUAGAAUAUUUUCUCCCACGUUUUUCUCCUACUCCCACGAUCUUUCUCCGAUCUUUUCCUCUUCGUACUGGUGUAAAUCAAAAGGAACAAUUUGAACAAGGAGCCGUGUUGUUGAGGCUGAUAGCGUUAAAAAACAAAAACAAAAGAGACUCUGCUGGGGAUCGAUCCCAUAAUCUCUGGUUGUGUGAUAUAUCGUAGACCAGUGCCUUAUCCAUUGGGCCACAAAGUCUAAUUGUUUGUUGUAUGAUAUAUUUAGCUUAUAGACCUUUUAAACCCAAUUAAAGAACAUAGAGAAGAAAUGAACCAAAAUCUAGUUUGAACAAUUCAAAGGUGUAUGAAUUCCCAAAACUUAAUUUCUCAAAAGUCAAAACUGAACUGAAACAAAUCUAGACUGAACACAGUUGAACGAUACAUCAUACAGAAAAAAAAAAUUUAAACUUUGUAACAGAAGAAAGAUUCAUAUUCAGGAAAACAAAUAGAAAAUCACCAGAAACUUAGGUACAUCCUCAGAAACUCCUAAAGUUAAAGAGACAACUUAUUGGCACUUAUUGACCCUACGGAAGAUGAUAAAGUAUUGUCUUUUGAGAAAAUAAGAGAAAUGUGCGAUGCAAACAUUCGUUAUAAACCUUGUUUAAUCCUCAAACAAUGCCUUCUGCAGUUUUCUCUGCCUGUAGCUUCUUAGGACGGGUACCUUCGGCUUUAUCUUCCUCAUAAGCUGCAACAUGAACUCCAAGAGCCGCACAACCCGACAGGUCAAGGUUCUGUGACCAAGCAGCGUCCCAUUCCACAGCCUUCGCUGUACUACAUGGUACACUUGGACCUCCUGGCACAGUAGCUCUAGCAGCGCUCUGCUCAUUAUAUGUACAUAUCAGAGCAAAGAUCAAAGACAGUUCAGGCAAAGAAUGAAGUAGAACCUUAGGGAAGAAUUUUCCAAAGAUGGCUCUGUUUGAAAACCUUCGGUAGAUAAGGAUUCUUCUCAUCAUCAAAAGCAAUGCGUAACACCCAUUUCUCGAUCCUUUCGAUGUCAGGCCUGAUCUGCAAUGUGGUUUAGACCAGAUCUUACAUCAAACUGUGAAGGGACCGUCCGACGAAACCUGUAGUGAGAGAAGAAUACCGUCCGACGAAACCGUAGAGAGAGAAGAGGACCGUCUGACAAACCAAAGAACAAAUCCCCAAUUCGCUGAAUUGUAUCUGAGAACAAAGAGAAGAAAGAUAAAAACGAGAUUAGAGACAAAAAAAUUGAUGAUUUACGAUGAAAAAAAUAAGGAUUCUCCGCUUACCCUAAAUUGACAUUGAAAGGGUUGAAGGCUUGAAGGUACACGGCGGAGAAGAAGAGAAGUGAAAAAAUAUUAGGGUAAACAAGUUUUUAAUCCUUUUGUGGUUUUUUCUUUUUUUUUAAUUAAAAUUUAAAUCAAUUACGAAUUAAUUUAAAUUUUAAUUAAGGUUAAUUUGGUUAAUUAUAAGGGUAUAAUGGUAUUAAAGAGAAUAUAAAUCUUAUUUACCUAAAUAAUCCUCUACAAGUCUUAUUGGAACAAAUCUAAGAUUAAAGUGUCUCAUUUUUCUAAUUUUCCCUUUAUUAAAUCAUCUACAAGGGUCUAGACAAACAUCAUUCUCUGGCAAGCUUGAGCAAACUUGUGCUCUCUCUAUUACAUCAUUUUGUAACUAGAAGAUUGUCUAUCAUACCCUCGUUAAAUCUUCUACAAGAGGUAGAUUUUUUUAACAAAAACGAUUGGGAAAAAAAAAGAAACACACUACAAAUGACUACUACACUUGAUCUCAUUUGAAAUGCUUAAAGAAGCUCCACAUUCUCAACAUAAUACGUAUACACGCUUUGACCACUCAAGCGUUGCAGCAUCUCGAAGAACCCACAGCUUAAAACUUUUACAUGAUCGACUAGCAUAGCCAGAAUUUUCCGAGGACAUAAGCAAACCUAAUCUGCCAUUGUAGUUUAUCAUAGUUGUUGAAUGAGGCAGUGCUUUAUUGAAACCUCCCAAGAGCGUCACAGAGCUGAACUUCUCAGACCUCAAAUCAAAACAAACUACCAUAGAUUCUCCUGAAGAAGGCCCAGAUUCUGUAGCUAUAUAGUACAACACGCCACUGAUGCAAAUCCACUUACCAGAAGAACAGUGUGGGAUGCAACAUUCGACCGCCCUCCAUGACAAUCUGUUGGUUCCUAAUGUCAGAACAUGGAGCUCCUUACCAUCAUCACGUAAAAGACAAUACCUUGAACUCUUUAGCAAUGGGGUCAUAUCCAAGAUAGCUUUCCAUUUCCACUCCAUAAUUCUCUUUUGAGUUCAAUCUUGGUAAUGUCAAGAACUGUCCUGUGCUGGGGUUACAUAUCACCAUGACAAGCACUGUUUUGUUCCUGCCCAGUUUAGCUCCAUAACAGAAGAAUCCAUUGGUACAACCAAAUAACAAAAUACUUAAUGACUCAAGUUUCUCUCUGUGAAGAAGAAAGAGAAAGACAUUAAACUUAUCUUAUACUAACAAAAUACAGUUUAGAACUUAGCCACAAAUUCUACAGAAAUGUCACAUUCACCAGACCGAAACAACAAUCUACCAGAAAUGUCGAUUUUACAAAUUGCAGAAGAAAUGAGGCAAAUCUUUGUACACAUAAAUGUUUUCAGCAUUUCUUACCUCGAAAUUCACUGUCACUAGGUUGAAUUUUUGGACUCGGUUCGUAAAUCGCAGUUAGGGUUUAGAACUAUCCCCAAAAUCAUUUUGUCGGGGAAGAACAGAUAAAAGAGAGUGCAGUAAUAAAUUUAAAACCUUAGCAUUUUGAAUCAUCUUUACAAUUAUGUUUUGGAGUAUCGUAUUAUGUUUUAAGAUAAGGUUUGUGGGUUAGGUUUAAGGUUUUUUCUUAAGAUUUGGAAAAUAUACAAGUGUUUGAUUUUCUGAUUAUAUUCAAUUGUAUUUUUUAAUUAUUCUUUUUUUAUAAAUGUUGGAUCUUGACAUAUUUUUAUAUAUUUUAGAGUUUAUAAUCAAAAUUUAUAUUUUAUGAAUAAUGAUCAAAUGUUUAGAGUAUGCUUAGGGCUUAGAGUUUAGAAAAGAAAAGAAAAAUAUAUUUUUCAAAAAUAUGUCACUACUAUUGGAUUUUCUCCCCUGUUAUUUAUUAUUUUAUCUUUUAGAGUUUUUGAAUUGUAUAUGAAAUUUAGAGUUUAGAGUAUGAUUAGGGUUUGGUUUAAAAAAUUCAGUUUCUACGAAUAGCCACGAUUUCGAUUGUGGAAAAAUAUUCUCCAAAUUAUAUCAUGGAUAGUUAUAGAUACUUAUGUCCACAAUUUACUUUGUAGCAAGUUGUGAUUUGAUAUCCUUAAAUAGCCACAAAAUAAUAUCCUUAAAUAGCCACAAAAUAAAAUUUGUAGCUAAUUAGCCACAAAAAAUUACAUAAUAGCUACAAAUUUUCAUUUGUGGAAAUUUUGUGGAAAUUAUGUUCUAACCACUAAAGAUUUGUAGCUAAGUUGUGGCUAAAAUCAGUUUUUUCUUGUAGUGACCUAUGAUUUCUCCAUAGUAUCAUGGCUUUGCUCUCAAGUGAGAUUUUUUUUUACAUAGUAAGACCUGAUAAGCAUCAUCAGUUUGACAUAAGAUCCCAUGACAUUGGUCUCAGGUCGAUCUUCCUUCGCUAUUGGAGAUGAAUCCUCUUUCUCUGACACCAUCCGUGCUUUUGUCAUUGCUGCUUCAUCUAGCCGGCGACAUCAACAAGGACACAUCAUGUAAGCUUGCUUGGAUGACGUGUGUGGCUUCAAUAUGCGGUCCCUCAAUCUUUGAGCAAAUCAGUAAGAAGAUUAUGCACCCUAAGCAGCGCCGUCAGAGUUUUAAAGCACGUCAUCAUGUCUUUGCAAUCGGCCUGCAAAUGAUACAAUCUCUUAUCUUUUUUUCCUCAUCUUGUUUGUUUCGGUGCUUAUAGAAAAACAAAAAAUCAUAGGAAGACCUCUACUAUUUAAAGGCAUCUCUAUUUUUCUGUUAGGUUUUGAUUAUCGUUUUUUCUUUUUGGUUUUGAACUUUUAAAAACAAGCAAUUACAUGGACGUGCAUCCUUAGAGCAUGUUUAUCGGUAGUUUCUUGACACAAGUUCCUAAGAUUAAAAAAACUAAAAUAUUAGAAAGUUAAGAAAGAGAAAAUUGAAAAGCUCUUAACUAAACAUUUUAAGAAACGGUUCCAACAGUGACACACAUAUGUGUCACCUAUAUAUUGGUGAUGUUUUAUAAAAAAAAAAACUGAAAAGUAAAUUCAUUAGUAUAAUAUUAAUAUUUUUUUUCUUUCAGAAUCUUUUACAGCGUUGAACAUACUCUUAGUUGUAAGAGCACCCGCAUUGAGGGUUUAUGGGGGGAGUUCACACAGAAAUCAAGAAAAAAAAUAAUAAAAUAAUUCAAUCCCAUGAACCCCUCUCUCCUAAAGCUCUUUGGGAUGAACCCCUGUCUCCUAAAGUUCAUCACUGUAGCGCGGGCCCCACAUGUCGUGGCGGUCCGCGAUUGGUCUAGAUUUUUUUUCUCUUUUUUAAAAAAAAAAUCAAAAAAAAAAAGAAAAAAAAUUUAAUAAUAAAAAAUUGAAAAGAUAGAACCCCAAAAGGGGGUUCAUUGACGUGGGUGCUCUAGGAUGUAACAAGCAAUUAGAUAAUCUCAUUUACUCCAUGAAACCAUCAUCAAAGUUUCAAUGGGAGCUAUUCCCCACUAUGUUCAGCUCAAUAUUCUCAGCUCAUCAACGUCUGUAUCAAACUAUCAUAAAAGUACCAACAACUCACGAGUCACGACCUAGCCUAAUAACAAGAGCACCAGUGUGCACAUUUCCCUCUAUGAAACCAUCAUCUGAGUACCAAUUUUCAAUCACAGCCUCGAAAAGACUUAAAGACUUUAUCUUAAUCUUAACACAUCAUCAAAAGCCUUUUAGAAAGUUUAUAGAGCUUACGAUGGCACUAGUAAUUGUAACGACCCGGUUCUCUGAAAUCCGUUUGGUUAAUUAUUGUGGUUUAUUAUUAUUAUUUCAAAUCAAACCAAAGCCUUCUCGCUUUCGUAAUUGUGGGUUUCUUAAUCAUCAAGUCUAUUCUUCAAAAAAGAGUUAAAGUCACAUAUCUUGGGUUUUAUUCUAAAGGGAUGUAUUAACAGCCCACAAAACCUCUUAGCCAUUUUCUUAAGAAAAAUAGACCUAGUCAAGAUGAAAUUAAUUGGCAAGUAAAGAGAGAUCAUGUCAUAGCCACCAAUAUAUUUUAUGCCUUACUUUUUUUGGUACACAUCAAUUCGAGAGAAAACUUCUCAUUCAAGGAUCUACGACUUUCACAAAAUGGUACUCUUGUCCAUUAAAACUUUGCUACUUUUGUCUGUCAACUUAUCAACCAAAAUUGGUAAGGGCAUAUAGUCUACCACAAAUCAUUCAUGGACAAGCUUUCAGGUGUUUGGUUCUUGAUGGACAAAUAUUAGUGACAAGUUUUGAUAGAUCAAAACAUAUCCUAAGACAACGUUUUGAUGGACAAUUCCCAAAAAGUAACAAUUUGUAAUUGUAUUUUGUAAUUUGUAAUUGUAUUUUUUAGUUGAUAAAAAAAAAAGCAUUAUGGGUAAAAAAAACCAUUGCUUCAAUCUUAUCCAUACAUGAUACAUGAUACUUGUAUGAACAACAAAGCUUUUAAAUGAAGUAGUUUUCUCUAAGAAAGACAUGGCAAUGUAUGAUGAGAGAUAGUAUUGAACAAAGCAAAGCGUGGAGGGACAUGUUUUAUAGAAAUUUGAGAAUGUGGCAUAAUAUGCAAGUUCCUUGACACCAAUUACCAUAAGAAAUGUUUUAUCUUUGGUGGACACCGUAUUUUCCAGCAAAACGCUUUUAAUACAUCAACUGUAGAUCCAAAUAGUAUUGAUGGUUUUUCUUUAUCUGGAUAAACCCGUUCUACCUGAUAUCAUGAUUUAACCGUGUAUUUUCCUUUUUGCUUGAAAUGUCAACCAUACUUAUCUACCAUGUGAAAAUUUUGAUUAUUAUUAUCGGGAAUAUUUUAAUGUCAUCUCUAAACAAAAGUCGUUUAAGUAUCUAAAACACAUUUGGGGAAGUUUUAAGAACAUAAUUUCUCCAAUAUAUAUAAUCAUCAUUUCUUCUUCUUUGGUUCUUCGUUUGCAUAGUCCUUGAUUAAUGCUUCCACGUCUUUCCAGAACAAACCCUCAACGAGAACUCCUUCUUUCGUGAACCUGAAAAGGUACAAACAAAAAAACAUACAACAUAAGCUCGAGCUUAUAAUGAACAAAUAGUAAUGCAGAGAAAGAGAGAGAGACCAUUGGGUGACACUUUUGGUGAAUUGGACUGACUUGCCAGCUGAGAUUGAUUUUGGAUCAGCACUGUCAAUGGUGAGAGUGUACUCAUCAGAGAACCUCGGCAGCUUUGAAGACACAAUCAAGCCAGUGCUGGUGAACGAUCCCUGCGUAUUCAACCAACCCAUUUUUAAAGAUUUUUGAACAUAGUAGCAAAUUAUGAAGCUAAGCAUUUAAAACAAAUGAAAGUGCGCAUGCCUAUCAAACAGAGAACAUUAAAACCCUUAUGUGUCUUGACUGUAUCAGAAUGAAACAAACCCACUAACCAAAUUACUCGCAUCAAAUCUAACCAAUAAGUAGAGAAUGAAAUAUGCUCUUAAAACUCUUAUCCUCUCUGAUACAAACUACAUGAAAGGAGUAAUCAUCUUCAAGCUGGUGAAAAGGAGAAAGAAAACAACCCACAUUACAUUCCCAGAACCACCCAUUUAGCUGAACAACUAUGUUUCUGAGGAACAAGACAGCACCAAUCCCAAACACCAAAAGAAACAAGAACCGCCAGAGUCAUAUUGCCAAGACUUUGAAUAAUCAAAACAAAAAAAAAUUGAAAUUGCAGCUAUUCCUAAAGCUCAAAUGCCCAAAACCAAGGUCCCCUAAGAUACGCAUAUACACUACUUAACAUGUCAGACACACAAUUUCAAAUUCCUUACAAAACAAAAGGAAUGUAAAAGUUUGACACAGUAUGUGAAGGAACUCUGUACAUUAGGCACCUAAAUCACAGGACUAAAGUGGAUGCAUCAUAGAAAAAAGCAGACACAAACAAUCCAAGAUUGAUUCCUACUCUAAACAGUUAGAGAAUCAAACCUCAAGAGGAUAGGUGAACAAUAUCGCAUUCUUCUCCUUAGUGUACAUAAUCAGCUGCAUCACCCCAUUCAGCACUACAUACGUACACCAUAGUCAAAGAGCCACACAUCUUAUCCAAUCACACUCUACUAGAAAAUGUUUUUUUUUACUUCAAAAUCCAAUGCCUAAGCACAAAGAAGUCAAGCCACGUCACAUUUAUCUAAAUCCCUAAAAACCUUAACUGCUAAGUCCGCAGAACAAAAUGGUAAUCAAGCAGAAGGCAUUAAGCGAAUCCAAAGCAACGAUUUGAUGUUAAAAAAAAAGGAUAUAACGCAAUGCAUCCAAUCAGAAAGUCUCUGUUCUCGGGAAACUUCUUGUUGUAGAACUGAGCAACGAGAGCAACCGCGAUGAUAACCGCGCCUAAGAUCAGCUUCAUGUUGCUCAGCCUCACGUCCUCCUUGUAGCCACGGCUCGUAACGAUCUACACAAAAGGACAAAAGGAUGAUCGUAAUCCACAGAUCGGAGAAUAUAGAGGAGGAACGCGUAAGGUGAAUAAUCUGAGGAUAUGUGGCUUACAUCGGAGACGGACUCGUCGAGCAUGUGCUUGAUAGAGUUGUGGUCCAAUAGAUUGACCUUCUUAACAUUCUUGUUCGUCGAUUCUACUUUCUUCUCUUCCAUGGCGGAUCGGAUCGGAUCGGAUCUCUAGGUCUCUUCGAAAAUUCAAGUGCUCUAGCGAACGCAGUUUCUCAAGGAAGACGAUACUUAAACUGGGCCGUGAUGGGCUUCAAAGGCUAUUUUGCAUUAUAAAUUACUUUUUUAUUUCAGACUUUAAUUACUUAAUAUUGUUCUUUUUGGUAUGUCAAUUAAACAAUUUAAACGUUUUUGGCAACUAAUCAAACCCUCUUUGUUAAAAAAUCUAAAUAAUAUUUUCAAUCAUAUAUAUUUGACUACUUUUAAGUCUUUAAACUUAAAUGUUGAAGGUUUGUUUCUUUAUAUAAUUAGAUUGGAUUCCAAAUAUAUUGAUGGUUAACUUUUAAUUAUCUUGUAGAGAGAUAACUCAGAUAAGAGGCCAAAAAGAAAAUAAAAAUGAUAGGAAAAACACCAAAUAAAUAUAUAUUUUUUUUGGAACAACACCAAAUAAAUAUCAUACAAACCAAUAUUCUUGCAGGAAUUACAAAUAAUCAAUUUGCAAUUAUCAGGAAAUGAACAACAUUCCUGAUUGUGUGAUAACUAAUCAAGAAAUUAUUGGAAUUUUAAUUUAAAAUCUAUUAAUUUAUUUCAAUCUUAUUCCUAAAAUCCUAGCUUGAUUGAAGAAGAUUUCAAGAAGGCUUGGACUUGACUUUGCUAGAAGUCCCGUUUGAGAGCAACAGCUUAGCUCCCUUCACAAGCUCUUCCUUGAUCAUGAACAGAACCGCAGCAGCUAAAACGCUCUGAACUAUCUUUGUGCUCAUCCCUUUGUAGAACCCGUAAAGCCCUUCAUAUCGAAUCAUCUUCAGAAUCGCAUCCAGUGUUCCUGUAAUUCAACCAUCCAUAGAAUUAGGAAAUGAGUUUUGUGGCCUUUACUAAUGAUCUCAUAACAACAAGAGGAAACAAAAACCUUUGUACUGAUGUCUUUUGUCUCCUGUUGUGACCUGUUUGGCUUGAAGUCGUGACUUUACAACAAGGAGAGGAUAAGUUGUGACUGUAGCUCCAAGUUUAGCCACAGCUCCAAGAAGAAAUGUCUAUGGGGAUUGGGGAACAAAGUAUAAACAAGGAGGCAGAAGCAUCUUAUCAAAAGAAAAAGAAUGCAAAAUAAUUAGAGUCCGAACCUCCCAAGCGGUAACGCUGUUGCUACUCUUCAAGGCACGUUUCUUCUUCAGCUUUGCUAGCAUUGUCUCGUACAACAUAAAUUGCAUUGAUGGAUUACUUACCUGUAAGUUUUUCAAAAACAGUCAGAAAAUGCACCCACACAAACAAUAUCAGAGUAGCUUCAGAAGCUAAGUUCACAUACCAUGAUCAAUGUCGGAAUUACACCUUUCCAGAAGCCAGUCACUCCAGAUUCAUCGUAAACGUCUCGAAUCUGAAACAUUGUUCAAUAUGUAUCACAGAAGUUGUAUUCAGAGGAUUAUAGAAUAUGAAAGGGUUUCAGUUUCAUAUUUCAAUCAGGUCGAGCCAACUCUUUCUGCUUUGUAAAAAUACGAAGCUGCCUCAUACCGUGUUAAAGGUUCCAUAUGGACGCGGCUCAACUGGAACCAGAACUUCAAUUUCAGAAGGAGGUGACUCAGAGACUGUCUUUUGAUCUUUUGGCAUUUUUCUGUGGGUCUGCAUUAUAUACAAGUAUUCAAUAAGAAUCAGGGGGAUUAGAAAGAGGACCAAAAAACACUAAAUGCAAAAAGAAUACUUUGAAGAAUAAGACAUCUGUAUGAAAAUACAUAGGAAAUAGAUUAAACACCAUAAGAAGAACUUUACUGUGCUGUAAAUGAAGCCACUUAUACCUGCAUGCGUGUAACAAUCACCCAAAUUGGAUUCGUCAUCAGAACGUUAACUGCUCUGCAUAGAGAAAUAGCUUCGUACUUCAAAUGAGACAGUAGAGUCAAAAUAAAAAAAGAGAUUUAACAUCAUUGAAGUAUGGAUGCUUAAUUAUCUUUGGCAGCCAAAGUUUAGAAUCAAACAUCAAAACAACUAUGACUAUAGGACCUGCCAGUAAAAGAAUACACCAUCCACCAAGUAGCUCCAAUAAACAUGCAACACUAUAUAAGAGCAUGAGAUGAUAGCAUCAGUAAUGUGACCACGGAGAGCAUUCACUCAUAGCCUACACUCCAGAGAGUCAAUGUGAAAACUUUGAGAAAGAACUAAACCACCUAAGUGUUACUUAGCAUCGAAAUCAACCAUUCAAAACACUUAUGUAUAGCUUCACUAACUAAAGACACUCCGCAUUGUAACAGACCAAAAUCUAAUCAUUUACGACGAAAACUACAUAAAAAGAUUGAUGCUUUACCCGGCUAAAGCAGCCACAAGGAGUGAAGCGAACAUCCCAACGGAUCCGUCACCCAACCCUAUUUUACUUUGUUGCAGAGCUGCAGCUUCAGCUUGAUUCCGAAACACUUGGUAGAAGUAAUAGUACACACCCUAGUGAAGCAACUAACUUAGAAAACUUUCAAACAUCAAUCCACAAAAUGUCAAACAAAAUAGAGAUUCUGCAGAUACAAAAAGUGAGAGAGAGAAUGUAUAACCUGUGACGCCGCGGUUCCAGCGAGAGACGGAGCCAAUCCACCAUAUAAACGCUCCCAUCCUUCUUGUUUCACAACCUUUCAAUACAAAAAAAAAUCAGAGCUAAAAAAAAACUCUCUCUAAAACCAGCCAAAUCCUUUGAUCCUGAGAGUAACCUGGCACAUGUGUUCGAUGGUUCCAAGCUUCCUCUAGCCAGUCCAUUUAUCAAAGCGUCCGACAUGAUCCCUACCUAUCGGAAUCGCUACGAGAUCUAGAUUACCUCCGAUUCAAAUUGGAACCGUCCCCAAACAAAACUUCCGACGACGGAGGGCGGAGUCAAAACGGAUCUUAUGUAGGUUGGAAGAAACUCCCGACGACGGAGAAUCAAAGCUUCACACGCGAUCGAGUUGACGUUGAAGAAAGAACAGUG